RNAcentral lists this long non-coding RNA (68914 nucleotides) under Citrus sinensis (sweet orange). RNAcentral's name for it is "long non-coding RNA (CSIN_LNC002371)". The record is from RNAcentral. Lineage: Eukaryota; Viridiplantae; Streptophyta; Magnoliopsida; Sapindales; Rutaceae.
CCAAUUAUUAGGGAACAAGCUUUGAGAAACCAAACAAGUCUUCAGUAGGUGAGGAAAAAAAAAGGCAUGUUUCACAAACAGAUUCCAUGCACAUGAAUAGCUUCAUCUGAAGACAUCUUUGGCAUUGAGGUAAUCAAAUUUACAGAUCAUUUUUUUUUUUUUUGUUUUUUUUUUUUUUUGGUUUUUUUUUUUUUUGGGCUUAUUGAAGACCGAGGGGGCCCACAUACCGGGGAUAAUUAAUCCUACUCAACUGGCGAGGUGGAUCCAGAUGGGAUGACGUGGAACAACACGAUUGGUCAAGGAAAAACUUCGAGUCCACGUAAGGGUUUUUUUUUUUUUUUUUUUUUUUUUUUGUUUUUUUUUUUUUUGGGGGGGGGGGGUGUGGUGUAGAUGUGGCAGGCUUUGGAAUCAGGGAUUUUCUACAGUUGUGUGAGUCUUAGCAUAGAUGAUAGUGAAAUGCAUAAAAAGUGCAGCCUCUGGUCUCAUUUCAAGUAAAGCUUCAUGAUAUAAGCAAAGACCAGCAGCAACUGUGCAUAUACUUCAUUUUACUACAAAACAAUCUAACAACCAACCAAAUUGAGAACAAAGAUGAUGAAAAUAUGCAUGCUCGUUGCAACCUGUCAACACCACAUGGGAAUUAGACAGCAGAUGGACAUUACUGAAUCGCGCAACAGCAUGAAAUAUAUAGUAGAACUAAUUAUUUCAUAUAAAAUCAACAUUUACUGUACAGUGUCAUUAUAAAAUAAAAUAAAAUAAAAAUGAAUUACCAGUACAGAGUGCCCUAAAAUUCUCUGCAGUCUUGGGAACAACAUCAGCAAAAAGCUAAUCAUCCAAAAAAGAAAACAGAUUAUUAAUAUACAUCCUAGUAGCAGACUGAAACCUGCUAUUUCCUUCCAACGAAAGGCUGAAAAAUAAAGUAAAUAACAUUUUGAACAAUGAGUUACCUCAAUAACAAUUUUUUCCACAGGAUCCCCAUCAAUUGAUACAUCUAAGAAAACAAGAGGGUUCUUUUUUUCACUCAUGACUCUUCACUCCAAAAUGCUGAAAUGAAAAGUCAAAGUCUGCAAAUAUCCUGUCAAAGCAUUAUAUAAAUGAAAUCUCGUUUAGGUUUAUGCAUAAGGUUGAUCUGUUAUGGUGUAUGCACAUUCAUUGUAUCCAGAGUGAGUGCAGAAACUUAUCAGCGUAGAUUGAAUCAUGCAAAAUUGGACCUAACUAGCUAGUAGUUUCAUUCAACUUGCGGCAGACCAGUUAUAUUAAGAAUUUUAUUCUCCUACUAACAAAUUUGGAUUACCUACCACGAAUGCAAAAAGGAGGUGCGGAACCUUAAGGCGUAAACAAAGCUCGAGGCAUCAAAAGAAAGUAUGUUUCAGUAAAGACCGAUGCUUCAAACAUUCAAUAGUAAUUUGUCCAUUUCAGCGUCGAAACAUGCACCUAUAAUCUUUAACUAUUUUGACAGCAUUUUCAACUGUCUAAUUGUAACAGACUCCACAAAACCCUAAACCCUAAUUUUCAUUCAAGCUCUUUUUCCGUACAAGAAGCUUCAAUCAUAACAAAUUCGUUCGAAAUUUCACAUAUUCCAAAGGAAAUGUCACAGUUUCCAAAGAACAGAAAUGAAUUGUAGAACUUGAAAGCUUAAAUUCCGUAAAAGUUGAAAACAAGCGAGCUGCAUAAGUAAAACGUAAACGAAGAAGAGUGCCGAGUUUACCUGCGACUUUGCCAAGAUCCGACCGGUUUAACUCAGAUUACAACUCGAGAAUUAAAACGGCGCCGAUAACCACUGGCGUAUUGUUGAAGUGCUUUGCUUGCUUUUUGAGAGAGGCUUUACCUAUUUGCUGCUUGCGAGCUGAGGAGGAAUCUACUAAACUGCGCGACCACUGUUUUAGGGUAGACCUUCAUGGUUGCUGGCUUUCUUUUAUCCACGUGUCAUUCGUAUCUCUCGAGGGUAUAGAGUUGCGUCGUCCUUACUCCUAAGAGCAUCUCCAAAAGACUCUAUAAAUGUUACUCUUCAAAUAUUCAUUUGUUUACCUAUGUAGCAAAUAGAUAAGUGAAAAAAUAUAUUAUUUUUUAAAAAACUCUUCAAAUAGAAAUGAGUUAAUAUUAUUUUAAUUAAAUAAUUAUUUUUUUAAAAGAAAAAUUAAUAGUAAUUAAAGUAUAUUUUUUUUCUUUAACAAAAAGUAAUAAAAUAUAAAUUGAAGAGAGAAUAUCAUUUCUUAUUUGAAGAAUUUUAAUUGGAGUGUCUUUUGGAGCUUUAAAUGUUAAUUAAUAUUAUUUUAAUUAAAUAAUUAUUUUUUUAAAAGAAAAAUUAAUAGUAAUUAAAGUAUAUUUUUUUUCUUUAACAAAAAGUAAUAAAAUAUAAAUUGAAGAGAGAAUAUCAUUUCUUAUUUGAAGAAUUUUAAUUGGAGUGUCUUUUGGAGCUUUAAAUGUUAAUGUAACUCUUCAAAUAAGUAAUAAAAUCUUAUUUGAAGAGUCCUAGAGCAUCACCAAAAAAACUCUUCAAAUAAGAUUUUAUUACUUAUUUGAAAAGUCACAUCAAUAUUUAGAACUUCAAAAGACACUUCAAUUAAGAUUCUUCAAAUAAAAAUUAAUUCUCUCUCUUCAAAUUUGAAGAGUUAAUUUCUCACUCUUCAAUUUAUAUUCGUUUUACUUUUCAUUGAAGAAAAAGAGAGAAAUGCUUUAAUUACUAUUGACUUUUCCUUUAAAAAACUAAUUAUAUGAUUAAAACAAUAUUAAUUUAUUUCUAUUUGAAGAGUCUUUUGGAGAAUAUCAUAUUUUUUCACCAUUCUAUUUGCCACAUAGGUAAGUAAAUAUGUAUUUAAAAAAUAAAAUUUAUAUAGGCUUUUGGAGAUGCUCUAAGGUUCUCGUUUUCUUUAAUUGCCACGAUUACCACUCUGCAGUGGAUCCCUUUUUUUUGUGCAUUGAAAAGAAAGCUAACGCGCAUAUUAAAAAAUAAAAAUGAGACCAAAUACGCGUAGAUCAACUGAUUUAAUUCGAGACUUAUAAAUAUAAUUGUGUUAAAUAUUUAUUAGAAGAGUUUUACCGUCUUAAUAAUUUUAUUCAGUUUAAAUUUAGACCAAUUUGAAUCUGGAUCAGUCGGGAUCCGAUGUGAUCUUCGGAUACUAAAUUAUUUAAUAUAUUUCGCUCAAAUUUUGAUCAGUCGAAACCCAAUGUAAUAUUCAGAUAUCAGAAUAUACAAAAAAAAGGGUAUUUUUUUGGGAAGUGCUUACCGAUGAUGUAAUUUUAGAAACCAUUCAAGUGGAAAAAGUUAUGAAACAUAAGUCGAAUCUUUAACAACGCGCAUUAACAUAUUCCGUAUCGCAAAAUGAGAGUAAUUAUUUUCGAAUAGGAAUUUGGACAUUUUCGUUUUAUAAUUUAAAGAAGAAUGAAAUAUUUUAUUCAAAAAUAUUGGUGAGAGUGAAGCGAUACGAUGUUUGUAAGAAUAAUUCUUCAAAAUUGACGACGGGCCAAUUUUAGUUAUUUGAUUCUUUAAAGCGUUAGAAAGUGGUAGAUUUGAGUGUUGUUUGGAUUUGAAUUCGUUUUACGACGAGAUCGAUCGGUGGGUACCGCAUUUGACCCGCACCAGCCGGUAGUGUUUUCCAUUUCCAUCAUCUCGGGGUCAAAUAGAUUCGGCCGUAAUUUCUUAGCGCAACUUGAGUGCUUGCAUUCGUAAAAUAAAGUACUAAACUUGAGCAUCGCUACACAUGCUGUAUGUAGUUGGGUUAUGUACUACAUAAUUUACAUACAGCACAUGAAUUAUGUACUACAUAAUUUGUAGUACAUAAUUCAUCAUUUAUUAAUAGGCUGUGUAAGAUUUUUAAAUUAAUGAUUAAAAAGAAAUAUAGUUAUAACCUAUGAUACGUAUAUCAUUUGUGCAUCUCCAUUAUGUACAUAUAAUAGUAUUGAUUUCUAUAACCAAAUAAUAAUUUCUUAACAAGUGAGAUUAUUUUAUCAAUCUUCUAUCAUUUUUUUUCCAAUUAAUACAAUAACAAAGUUUCUACAAAGAUCCAAAACUUGAAUUGAUAAAUAGCCAAAGCUUAUCUUACAAACAAUGUAACAAACAUCCAAUAGAUAUAGAUCAUUGAUUUUGAUAUUUCUUAAAUCUAAUGAAUGAAAACAAUUUUAACAGGAAAUGAGGUGUGGGUGUAAUAGUAAUUUAUAAAAAAAAUCAUUUUUAAUCACAUAUUUACUUAUUUUUUUCAAAUAAGUCCUCAUUAAUUUUUUAUAACUAAAUAAGUUUGUAGUUCAUCUCUUCUACAUCUAUUUAAAAACUUUAUAAAACUUUUGCUGGAUUUUUAUAAAAAUUUAAAUGAUUAUUAUAUUCAUAAAGAUUUACAACUUUUGAAUAAAUUUUAGCACCUUCAUUUAUAAUUUCUUGUUUCUUUUAAGACAUAGACUAAAUUUUUCUUGUAACACACACACACACACACACACACACACAUUCAAUCUACUUUCCCAUCCUAAUACAUACCAUCAAUGUUGUUACAUAGAUUUUGUAAUCUAAAUUUAUUAUUCUAAAUUAUGAGAGAUAUUACAUAUGAUAAAUAUCUCAUGAAUCUAACGAACUAUUAAAAACAUGGAACAAUGAAUAAAUUAUCAAAACCUCUAAUAAUUUCAUAAAACAUAGAAACCAAUAAGUUACCGCCUUCUAGUUAUAGGCAAAGAGGAUUUUUCUAUGAAAGAUUUCAACCCUUUGAUCUAAUCAAUGAUUCAGAAAUGUGGAGAAAUAAUAAAUUAAAUUGAAUGUCACAAUAUUUAUUAAAUAAAUUAAGAAACACAAAUGUAUCUAUAAAUGAUAUAGAAGGUGUAAAUAAAAUAUUAUAAAUUAAUAAUUUCAAUGAAGAAAAUAAAAAAUAAAUUAAAAAGUUAAGAGAUUAACUGAGUAAAGAAUUUAAUAAAGUUAAACAAUUAAUAAAAGACUUCAAUAUUGAAAAUUAUGAUAUAUUAAAGUAAGAGAUCAUUAAUGUAAUUAAUAAAAAACUUAAUAGAUAUAAGAUUAAACAAGUUAGAGAUUAAAUUAAAUAAAAUAGAAAAAAUUAUUGAGCAACUUAGUACUAAAUUUACUAUAAAUAUAAAUAGAAAAUUUUAAAAAAAUUAAACUUCUAACAAUACUAUUGCCUGGCUGUAACUUGGGCUUUAAAGUAAAACUUAAAACCUUAUUGAUGUUUUUAAUAAUUAUUAUCUUUUCUAAGGAUUUAAGAAAUUUUAGCUGUAACGUACAACUAAUGUAAGAUAAACUUUACCUUCAAAAUAUAUGGGAUCGUUUGGUAUGCCGAAUUAGAUUGGAUUGGAUUGGAUCAGAUUAGAUAAGAUAGGAUUGGAUUGGAUAAUACUGGAUUAUAUAUAAUAUUAUGUUGUGUUUGGUAUGCCAUGAGAUUAGCUAGUAAAUAAUAAUGUCUUAUAUAUUAAUUUAUUAAAAUCAUUGUAGAUUUACUUUAAAAUGACAUGUAAUAUAAUCUAACUUAAAUCAAUAAUUAUUGGUCAAUUUAUAAAAAAAAUACAAAAUCUUCCUUUAUUUUUUUUUAAUAUUUAACAUGUUAUAGUUUUUAAUUCCAUGAAUAGUAGAGAACAAAGUUUUAUCUUAGAAAAUGUAAUCCCAGGAGUCCCCUUGGGAUGAAAUUUUGCCACUAUUGGGAUUAUGUGGUGGGCCCAUUAUUGUUACCCUACCUUUACUUUUUUUAUACCAAACAUGAUAUAAAGAUUAUUUUACACUAAAAUUAUCCAAUCCCAUGAUAUAUAAAUAAAACCAAACGGUCACUAUGUGUGUACGUUGAUCUCACUAUUGUACCAAAAAAGACAAAUGAAAUUUACUUGUAUGUAGUACGCUACCUUAAUUAUAUAUUAUGGAACAAGCUAGCUAUCACCCUCAUUGCCUUUUUGACCCAUUCUGAUUCUUCUUUGAAAUCGGAUGAGUUUUAUGAACAUCUUGAUCUUAGAAAUUAGAAAAUGAAAGCUCCCCAGAAAAUUUCAGCCUUAGUUGACUAAUAAAAUGAAAGCUCCCCGGAUUGGAGCAAUAUGAAAAUUUCUUAAUCCCAUCGUUGACGUGAGACUAUGUCCUCAAGAAAAUUUCAGCCUUUUUGAAUGGAAAUUAUUAAUCCCUUCUCAAGCGUGUCUCUCUGACUGUUUCUUCAAGCCCCGCCCCAACGUCGAUUCUUACAUAUAUAUAUAUUAACUAAGACUAAUUCUUGCUCACCAUUAAUUAGCCUGCGCCAAACCAACCAUCUUCAUAGCUUAAUUCCCCAGCUAACACCACUUUCUUUUCUCAUCUUUCAGCAAAAGAAAUAAAAUUAGUUUUUGAUCAUUACUUUGUUAUUCAAAACCAAACAUGGCCGAUGCAUUAACAGAAGAUCAAAUUGCUGAGUUCCAGGAAGCCUUUUGCAUGAUUGACAAAGACUCCGACGGUGUGUUAAUUCAUUAGGUGUUGACAGUGUGCACACGUUCUAUAGCUAAUCAUUUUGGUUUUUUUUUUUUUAAUAGUGCUGUGGCUUCAUUUUAUUAAUUCGUUAUCAAUGGUGUUGUGUGUAUUUAUAUUAUAUCAUAAUAUAUGUAGGUUUAAUUACCAUGAAAGACCUUGCAACAGUGAUCCAAUCAGCACAGGAUGAACAUCCUAGGAAAGAAGAAGUUCAAGAGAUGAUUAGUGAAGUUGAUUUUGAUGGAAAUGGGUCCAUCGAUUUUUUAGAGUUUUUGACUAUCAUGGGAAGAAAGAUGAAGGUUACAACAUACGUAUCUGUAUAUAUGAAUAUCAAAUUAAAUUGAUGCAUAUGUUUUGGUGCAAAUUAACGAACAUGAAUUGUUAUUUAUUUUAUCAGGAAAAUGUUUCUGAAGAGCUAAAAGAAGCCUUUAAAGUAUUUGACAGAGAUCAAGAUGGGUUCAUAUCAGCAGCUGAGGUAAAUGUGCAUAUCAACCACUAUACAGUACACGUAUCAUUUUUCCACUAAUAUGAAACCAAUCUAGCUAGUAGUAUUAAUUUAUUUGUGAUGUGUAGUUUUACUUGAUCAAUUUCUCCCUGCACAAUAACGAUUUUGUGUGCAUGCAGCUAAGGAAUGUAAUGAUGAAUUUGGGUGAAAGACUGAGCGAUGAAGAAACUGAGCAAAUGAUCAGAGAAGCUGAUUUAGAUGGUGAUGGUCUCGUCAGCUUCGAGGAAUUUGCAAGAAUGAUGAUGGCAUUCUGAUUAUUGGUUGGGUCCUAAUAUUUCAUAUGCAGAAUUCUUGUAUUUGUGCAGAUCUUUUAAAAAUCCUAUUCUCUGUUACGUCAUACGUCUACGUUAAUGUAAAGUUUAUUCAAUAAAAUGCUGGUAGCAUUUACUUAUACAUAUAUAAAACUGUAAUAUGUUGAGAUGAUUAAACUAUUUAACAGAGCCAAAACAACAUAUAAAAUUUGAAUUAGGCUUUGAUCACCUUUCUACCUCUUAUAUAAGGAAAAAAAAAUCAUACAAUUAUAAAUAGAUAGUAAAUUUUUGAUAUUUUAGAAUGAAAUUGUUAUUAUUAAGAAAAACAAAAUGAUGUACGGUAAAGCCUUUACAAAAUAAAUUGUUGGGACUAAGAAAAAAAAUCAUCUUAGUAAGGAUAUGUAUUUAUUAAUAAAUAAAUAAUUUAUUAAUUUAUCAUCAGAUUUAAGAAGAGUUUUUAUGUUUUAUAUUUUAUAGUAUCAUCUUAGUACGUAUAUCAUUCAUUUGAGUUUUUGACCAAGAAACAUGAAUUGUGUAUAUACAAAAAAGAGAAAUUGUUAAAUUUUAGAACAUCUACAUAAAAAUUUAUGUCAGUACAUUGUACUUAGACAUAAAAUUGAUGUACAUAUUUUUCAAAUUUAACACCCUAUAUGAUAAAGUAUUUGAUAUUCUUAAAGUAUGUAUAAUAUAAACAUGUAGAAUAUAAACUCUAUAAAUGCAUCAUUAGUUUUAUUUUUAGUUUCAAAUAUUAGAUAUAUAUUUUGGAAAAUAGUUGAAUUGAGAAAACUUAAGUUAUCAAGAAAAAAAUCCUUAAUAUUAUGAACUUUAUAUGUUCUUAAAAAAUUAUUAUCUUAUACAUUUAGUAAAAUUAUUAGUUCAGUACAUUAACCCAAGUCAAAAUUGAAAGAUUUUAUUACUUAAUCAAGAUUAUCAAUUUAUCGAAUAUUCGUUUAUUAAGGUUUUACUAUAUAUAAACAAAUCAAUUUUUACUUUCUCAAAUAGUCUCCUAAAUUGUCUCAAGAUUUGACCAUUUAAUUGUACAUCAGUUUCUUUAAAUGACUACUUGAGUUCUAAUCAUGGACAAAUAGGAAUAAAACAAUAAAAAGAUGAGUCUAUUAGUACUUUUAAAAUAGACAUUGAACGUUCUUAUGGAUAUCUUAGUAAAAUUUUAUUAAAAAUAAAAUUCUUCAAUGUAUAUUAAAAUAAAUUUAUUAUUAAGGACAAUUUAGAAAAAUAAAUUAAAAUACUUUUACCCGCAAACCACUAAAUGUUUACAUAUCACAUGUGAGUUUCAAAUAAAUAUCAAAUCUAAUCUAUCAUUCAAAGAAUAUAAAAAGUAUUUAUUCAUAGAAACGCAAAUCGUUAUUUUGAAAAGAUUUUUUUUCAUUAUUUGAAAAUAUUUAUUGAUACCAUUAUUUUAUUUCUUCAUUCACAAAUCUUCACGGGUAAACUGAUUCUGAUCCAGUCAUCCCACCAACCCUUCUUAAUUGAAUAGGAAUCGUUCGUUGAUAUUUAAUAUUUUUAAAUCUUUAAUGUAGUUGUUGAAUAUCUGAUCUGUGCAUGAGAGAAAAUAAUUAAGGGUUAUUUCAGUACUUAUAAGAGUGUGUAAAAGUAAAAUUUUAAAUUUUAAAUUUAUCAAAUAAGUGAACAAAGUAAAAAAAAUAUUUCAAAAUAUAUUUUUGAGUACAAAUUUCCCGACUCAUAAUAAAAUGGACAAGGAUCACUUCUUAGUUUUUUUUUUCCCUCUCUUAGUCUCUCCUAAUAAAAUAAGUGGUUAUAAGUGAAUUUUAAAUUUUGAUAUUGACAAUCAAACUGAUUUGUUUUGUUUUAUUUGCAAUUAAGCCAUUUUUUUUAAUUAGAUCUAAGAGACUAUUAGAGAUUAGGAAAGAAAAAGAGAAUCAUAAUCCUAAUAAAAUCGAACUUCCCCUACCUUGAAUUGAAAUAAAAAAAAUUGAUAGUUAUUUGUUUAUGUCUCAUCACUUUAGCGUUAAAAUAAAGGUAUAAAACUACAAGCUAAACUAUGUUAGAAUAUCAUUAAAAAAAUAAAUAAAUAACAUUUUACUACUUAUUUAAAGAGGCACAUCAACAAAAAUAGUUCUAAAAGACUCUCCAAAAAAAUUCUUUAAAUGAGAUAAUAUUGAUCUUUUUACAUCUUAUUUGGAGCGUAUUUUAAAGUUUUUAAUUUAGUAUUAUAUUAUUUUUUAUCUCAUUAUUUUUAAAGAAAGAAAAGUUUUAUAAUUGCUAUCAUUUUUGUGGUGGAAUGAGUUUGAUUAAAAUCACAUAACUUUUUUUUAGAGAUGACUUUUUUUUUUACUUUUAUAUUUGUCACAUAGAUAAAUAAAUAAAUAUUUAAAGAGUUAAAUUAGAAAAAAAAUUGUUAUGCUUUUAUAUAUAUAAGGGCAAUUUAUCGUCAGCCUCUAAUUGUUUCGACAUUUAGCACCGGCCACCCACAUCUUUCGACCAUGUGUACCACGCCCCCAUUUCCGUCAAAAAAUCAGUUAAUUCUAACGGUUCAGGCUGCUAUUAACCUAAAAGACCAUACUACCACUGUUUUAAAUUAAAUUGAUAUAUAAGUACUAAAAUACCCCUUACAACUUAAAAAAUUAACAUUAAGAAAUAAAGAUUUAUUAUAACGAUAUUUAUUUUUAUAUUUUUUUACAAUUAAAUUGAAACGAAUUUUUUUUUUAGUAUCAUAACAAAAUUGUAAAAGGGGGAAACUUCAAAAUGAGAGACAAAGCAUGAUUCCAAAAGGAAAGAAGAAAAUCAAAUACAGAAUCAUCAUCAGAUUACAAAAAAAUUCCAAUAUUAAAGAAACCUAAUCUAAUUAUGCCAAACACUUGCAGUAAAUUUCAUUGUAAAAGUCUAUUACAAAAGACCCAAACUAAGAAAAUUUAACAAAAAGGAAUCCAAAAAUAAAAAAUCCUAAAACGAAAGAUUUCAAACCCUAAAUCAAAUUAUAGAGGUGGCGGAGACGGCAACAGCUUCAAGUGGUGGCGUCGGCGGUUCCAUGCAGUAGUUGAGGCGAUGGUUUCGAGCGAUGGCAGAUCACGCAGCGCGCCAUUUUGUUGUUGUCGAUUCAAGCCGGUGGUUGAUCACUCCGACAGACACCAGUAGUAAAAGACAAGAAGAAAAAAAAGGAGAAGGAGAAAGAGAAUGAGAAGAAAAAAGAAGUAGAAGAAGAAGAAGAAGAAGAAGAAAAAGGAAGAAGAAGAAGAACGAAGGAAUACCGACGAGAAAAAGAAGAGGAAGGGAAAAAAAAGAAAAGAAAAACAAAACAUAGAAAAUAAAAAGAAACGAAGGAUAAAAGAGUUCGUUCUUAAAAAAUUAUCAUUUUAUCUUUUUUUUUUUUGGUUAAGUUAACGAUAGAUUGACGGAAAUGGGGGCGUGAUGCACAUGGUCGAAAGAUAUGGGUGUGCCGUACUAAAUGUCAAAAUAUUUUUGUGGUAGAAUGAGUUUGAUUAAAAUAAUAUAACUUUUUUUUUAGAGAUGGACUUAUUUUUUUUACUUUUAUAUUUAUCACAUAAAUAAAUAAAUAAAUAAACAUUUAAAGAGUUAAAUUAGAAAAAAAAUUGUUAUGCUUAUAUAUAUAUAUUAUUAUAAGUUGUUUAUAAUAACUUAACUACUACCACUAAUCGAAUCGUCUGAUUGGUUGAUGCCAGAUGAUGACAAUUUGCUGCUAGUGCUGAAUGGAAAAUGGACAGUACGGGGACAAAUUCUAACAUGGAGGAAUAUUCAGCCGCAUCGACGGUUAUCAAAUUCGAUAAACCAAUCCCAUUACUACGGGGGCCCGUCCCACACGACGACCCAUCGAGCGGCUCAUAUCUCCUCGCUUUCAGGAGCCACCAGUCGUGGGCUUCGGCGUACGAAUCCUGCGAGUCCAAGGUACUCUCGCAGUGCGAACAUGGCGCUAGGAUCGGUUGCUCCGUCAAUGCGUCCAAAAAGUGCAAGCCUCCUUGGUGGCGAAACCUAAUUGGACAAAGACCCGCCGACUUCAAGGAGCGUGAGGACUGCGAAGUGCGUGAAAUGGAAGCGUGUUUGAUUGUCGCCAAGGACAAGUGCGCGGGCUUUGCGAAAGACAGAUUGUUGAGGCCGUUUCAAGAUGCGAGAAUUGCGGGGAGAGUGGGGCCCAAGGAGGUCGAGAAGUUGGUUUGCUGGGCGUCGUUGCCUGAGACUGAGAGGAGUUUGUGGAGGGAUUUGAUUGGCUCGGAAUGGCUGGGUGAGCGCGAAUUUAGGGUUAGGACGAAUUAUAGGGCCGCUGACUUGCUUGGCUCUGAUAACAAUUACAAACGCUUCUUGGGUUAAUGAUCUGCAAAGGUAUGAUUAUCUAUCUGUUUAACUUAGUUUUUCAUUAUAUGCAAGCAUGUUCGUCAAUAUUGUCAGAUUAGCGAUGAUAGAGCUUAUUGAAUUAGGGAAUUAUAGAAUAUCUUUAUGUCCAACUGUUAAAUCCUGAGUGACUGGCUAUUGGUAGAAUCUCCUUGUGAUUGUCUGCUCUCUACAAGUAACACAGUGACUUUUAAUUCUGGGUAAUGUUAGCAUGUAAGUUGUUUCACGGGCAUCUUAGUACUGCAUAUUAGUUUUAUGCCGGUGUUUCUUUGCUGUUUUAAUGUAUACCCUUUCAAAGUGAUUCUCUCAUGUCUAGUUUUUCUCGGCAGCUCUUCCUUUGUUUUAUUUUCAAACAAUUAACUUUUUCUACUUUGUUUUAUUAUUAUUAUUUUUUAAGUACUUAACUAUGAGAGAAAACUAAGCUGCCCAGGAGCACACCUUGAAUUGUAGGAAUCUGAUUUUUAUGAUGGUUCAUACCACAAUCAUGAGUGAGAGUGACGCUGAAACUGCAGACUGCAUUUGGUACUCUUUUUCGCGUUAUUGACAUCUAUUUUGUUGCUAUUUGGACAUUACAGCUCUGAGCUCAUGGUAAUCUGUAUAUUUCUUUAUUCAUCAAAAUGCAUUGCGGGUAAUUAUCAGGUCAUUAUGCCAGCACCACAACAAUCAGUCAAAUCACCACAAUCAUAACUGCUUCCUCUAUCUUCUCCCGUUGCAAAUUUGCUCUCUAUGUCCAUUACAAGCACCUUUGCGAAGUGACUUGUGUUUUUUGGUUACAACAGCCAUUAGACAACAGCCAAUUGGCACUGGUUUUCUGAAAAGCUGGAUGAGUGUUAUUAUCAGCACCCUGCACCACCAAUAUUUUCACACUGAAAAUAUUGUCCUGUUUUGGUUUGUUUUCAUUUCUGUCUUCAAGAAAUUUCUGCCCCUUGAUCUAGGAAUCACUUAGUAAUUUCUGUUUCAAUAACUAAAUGUGUGAUUAUUGCUUCAUUUUAAUUAGUUAGUGUACUCUUGUAAUAUCUUUUCAUUUCAAUCAUAACCAUCAUGCGAAUUACAGCUGCAUUUGUGCUAAUGUUCCCCAAGCUAGCAUUCCAGAACAUUGUAUUUGUAUAUAUAUAAUAGGAUUGAUAGCCUGUUGCCAUGAUUUGGAGUUGGCAUAACAAUUUUAGGUAGUCAAAUAAUCCAAUGGACAGGGGCUCUACUCGGCCAUGAAGAGCCGGUUGGUGUUUUUGAAGGGCUUGGACAGUAGUUCCUAUAAGAGUGGAUCUUUUAACACCCCUCCAAAAUGCUUAUGACGCCCUUUUUCAAUUUUAUUUUCUAAAAAUACUCAAUUUAAUUUAUACAAUACAAAAUCACAAAUUAAAAAUCAAUCAUCUUGCCAUAAAACUUCACACUAUGAAGAGAAUUUUUUAAUAUAUAAAAGAGAUGCAAAUCCUAAAAUCUUAAAUUAUUUUCUUAUUACAUAGUUUUUACCUCCAUAGUACUAAAUUAUCACAAAUUUCUAAAUCUUUAAAUAGUUUUUCAAUUAAAAUUUAAAAUAUAAAUAUAUAUUAUGAAGUGAGGAGGGUGAAAAGGUUUGUAAAAAGAUAACUUAUUAUUUAAUUGAAUUUUCAUUCAAAAUAAGAUAUGAAUUCAUUUGUCUUUGGUUGUUAGAUAAUUUUAUUUAAAGGAGGCUUUGUGAGGAAUUUUCCUUUUUUGGUAAGGGGUUUUAUGAGGAAUUUAAAAGUGUGUCAAAGAGACCUACUCUAGCAGAUUUGUCCUUUCAUAAUUUUUUUUCUCAGAGCUAUUGGCACCCUUCAAAAAUCCUCUUAAAAUCCCCACUUUUGUAUGUACCCUUUUUUAAGCCUAAGAUGCAAGACUUUUUUUUUUUUUUUUUUUUUUUUAAUUACCAAAUCUUGGCACAUGCAUCCAAUGGAGGAAAAAAAAAAAAAUGCAACAAGAGGUUGAUUAUCAGCAAUUGAAUCGCCAAUUUUUGUUUAUAAUUUGUUGUAUACCUGCAUGAAUUAAUUGUAAGUAUGGUAAUGUACAUCCUGAUGCAAGAUUUUUUUUUUUUUUUUUUUUUUUAAUUACCAAAUCUUGGCACAUGCAUCCAAUGGAGGAAAAAAAAAAAAAUGCAACAAGAGGUUGAUUAUCAGCAAUUGAAUCGCCAAUUUUUGUUUAUAAUUUGUUGUAUACCUGCAUGAAUUAAUUGUAAGUAUGGUAAUGUACAUCCUUAUGCUUCCAGUCUCCUGUUUAAACACUGAACAAGAGAAAAAUCUUAAAAAGAGAAUAUUCACUGUUCAUCAUCAUACAAAUUUCAUUCGCUUUUCUGUUUCAAGAUUUCUUUUUUUGUUUUGAACUCCCAAUUUCACUAGAGUUUUUGUUUUAACCACCACUCCUACAUUUCAUAAGUGUAAUAAUCUAUUUCUUUAUCUUUGCCCCCACUUCUUUUCUUCUAUAAAUUCAAGCAGAGAGACUCCACUAUUUCUGGAAUUGAAGAAGGGUAUUUAGGGAAUUAACAUAGAUUUUAUUGGGAAAAAAAGCGAUUUCUUUUAAAAGGGUGAGGCUAUUUGAACCCAUAAUUUUACUAAUUAAACUUGUUUUCUCAAUAAAUCCACCAUUAAAAUUUAGAUAUUAGAUUUUUACUACAUAUACCCUAUAAAAAUCUAAAAAAUAACCUCAACUAAAAUAUUAUUCUUUUUAUUUUUUUUACACCCAUUAUUAACUUCUCUAUUUUUACUUGGUCAGUCUCUGUAGCCUCUCCAAAACAGGUAAUUUCUUUUUCUAACUUCCUGUAGAGUUCAAUUUCUUUUUAAUUAAUUGACAAGAGAUUAAAGCCUAAACAUGGGCCAUCUUCUUAAAACCCAUGACAAAUUGAACUUUUUUUGUUUUCUCCCGCCCUUGUGGUUUUGUUUCAUAUAUAAUAAUAAUACUAUCGGCUUUAUCGAACGGAUUUUAAUAUAAAAUAACGUCUUCAUAGUGUAGGGUAAGAACAUGACAUACAAGAAAUCUAGCAGCUGUGCCUGUAAUUGUUCUUUGCUUUGUUUCUUAAUUACCAGAAUUUGAAGUUUAUGUAAAGAAGAAGAGAAGAAAAAAAAAAAAAAAAAAGCAACGUCAAGUUCUUUCUUAAGUAAAACCUACAAAGAGAAUUAUAGUUCUUUGUUUUGGGAAUUCUUCUAUAAACUAGUUUACAUUUUUUUUAUUUUUCAUUAAUGAAUCCAUAGGCAUCAGAGAAAGAGUAGAUAUGGUUUAUCGAAAAAUGGGUAUAAUUAAAUUACAGUUUUUAUUUGUUUAAAUUUUAUUGUUCUUUAUGUAAUUUUAUUUAAGGAUAAAUUAAUAAUUAAAAAUUUUGUUGAAUGAUGGGUACAAAGAGCAAAUUAAUGGGUUCAAAUAGCUUCACCCCUUGUAAAAUUAUUUGAGGGGUACAGUGAGAAAAAGGGGUUUUAAGAGGAUUACCGAGGGGUGCUAGUAGCACUUCUCUUUAGCGAGUGUUCGAUUGAAAAAAUUUGGGUUUUCGCUCUGGGGCGGAAUUUGGCUUUGGUUCAGACCUAAGCACUUGUUAAUUGGACUCGUCCAAAAGAGAAAUUGGGCUUGGAGUGUAGCCGGCGUCGCCGGUCACUAUGAAUUUGAAGCUAAUGGGCUACGCUGAUAUGAUUGAGUAGCUGUCAUCAUGCGAUGACAAUAUUUGACGCUUUUAGAAAUUGAUUUUCGCAAGCCACACAAUUCCUCCAAAAUAUUAAAUUCUUAUCUUGGCUGCUUGGAACUUGGGCCCCUAUUCUAGUAAAACUAAAGCAAACUAAAGCAGUGUUUUCUGACUUGCAAAUGAAUUUAUCUAUUUUGACAAAACGUUAUCAUAGACGAAUCAUUUUCCUGUCAAAAUUCUGGGAUUCCAAGUCCAAUUUGGGUUUUUUGAAAUAAGAUUUUAUUACUAGUAGACCAAUGUUAUCUCCAAAUCACCUCGCAUCAAGCAGUUUACAGACAAGUUUUGCAAGUUGAGUGGUGUGAACUGUGAAGCAAACUAUCUAAAUGAUAUUGGUUCCUGGUCCAAAAUGUUAAAAGAGUCAGAUUGUUUUUUUUUAUAAGAAACUAGAAAAUGUAUUAGCGCAAAAGACUUGAAAACUCAUAAUGGACCAGCUGUCCGUUGACAAAACAGAAACUAGGACUGCUUGUUGCUCAAUACAAAAGGCAAUUUAAAAUCGGAUCGUCGACAGCGAAAGUUUGUUUAGCCGUCAUUGUUGACAUUCACAGAGAAAAACAACAGCCGCAGCAAGAACAACGACAACGGCACGCAUUAUUAGACAAACCAUACCAAAGAAAAAUCAAACAAUAAAAACGUGGUGGGCAGAAGUGCAGGCCAGAGUUGAAAUCUCACUUUGCGUCUGUCAUCAUUGGCUGUUGCCACGUUCGGUUCAUUCUGGCCACUGUCUUGGUCAAAACAGACUCAUUAAAUUCUCACCAAGAUUAUUAUUAACAUCAGAUUGCAGAUGUCAUGUAUCUUUCCAAAGUAAACUCAGACACAGCCAGCUCAAGAGGAAACUGCGAGGAAGCUGCAUUGACAGCAACUGAAAGAAAACUUUCAUUUCCUUUUUUCCAAAGCACGGGCAUGUCCGACAAUAGAUUAACAUCAAAGCUGUGUCUGAGUCAACAUUGCCCUUUCCGUCACAUAAAGAAACCAAAAAACGGGGCUAUGUCGACAACUGCCGAAAGGGCCCCAAAAAAAAAAAAAACAUAAAAAAAUGUACGUUUAAUUACCUCACAUUCCAGGAAAUUGGCACAGUGUGGAAAAGAAGAAAAAAAAAAGAAGAAAAAGGUGGGACUGGAAAUUACAUUUAGUGUGCGUGCCACUUGUCACAAGCUUUUAACUAUUGCGUCGUUGUUAAUUGUUUUUCCCGGGAACUUAGUCUUAAUUUAAGAUGUGUGCUACACGACAUUAUGAAAAACUUUUACAAAUUCUGAGCUUGACCCACUGACCAUUUGGCCUUGAAUAUUGUGUAGUUAGAUGAAACAACCGGCAGCUGCAAGUUGAAGUGUGUUACAAUAUUACACUUGUGCGGACGAUUGGCAGUUUAAACUUCAAACCAAGACAUUGGUGUCUUAAUUUCGUGCAUCUCGUGCAACUAAAAAGUAGCUUUUGUUGUUUGUUGUGCUUUAUCACCUGAAUCCUUUUUCUUUGGUUGAAACGCCAGCCAGCAAAGGAAACAGGGGAGGAAUAGUGGAUUUAGUUGAAUUCUUUUAUCUUUUGUGGUUGCGUUUUUCGUUUUAACAAGUUUAGUCCACUCACGUUUCUUGACGCCAUAGUAAAUGUAAAGACUCUAUCACUAAGACAAAGACCCAUUGAUAGUUUAGGUUUUUAGAUAUUUAUAUUUAAAUAGAAAAAAAAAUGUAAAGACUCUAUGGCUGAGACAAAGACCCAUUGAUAGCUUAGAUUUUUAAAUAUAAAUAUUUAAAUAAAAAAAUAAACUUUUGUGAAUAUUAUAUGAAUAGGUAAACAUUUGACCCAUAAGUUAAUAUUAUGUUAAAAAAAUCUAUUAAAUAUAAUUAUUUUUUAAAUUAUAAAACUUAAUUCUUUUUUAUUUUAAUUUACAAAGACAUAAAUGUUAGAUAAUCAUUUUAAGAUAUUUUUAAUUUAUAAAAAUAAAUAAGAUAUUAAUUAUAUUUAGAUAUUAAAAAAUAAAAAAAUAAAUAGACUAUUCAAACAUUUAUAUUAUGAUUUAUCCAUACUUCAAAAAAAAAAUCAAAUUCAUUUAAAUUUUGAGUAAAAAAAUAAAUGCGACAUUAAAUUGAUGGUUGACGAACGUAAAUAUUUCUCAAUGAAGGGAAUAUUCAAGUUAAAAAUUGUAUUGACGUAAACUUUAAGUUACCGGAAUAAAUUUUUUUUUUUUUUUUUAAAAAAGAAGAGUACUCUCUGUUUUGAAAGAAUUGUACGAAGAUGAAUUGAUUAUCGUUCGUCCCUACUCGUUAGUACUUUGGUAAGAGCAUGAAUCACGCCAGAAAAUGACAAAAUCCGUACAUUCAACGCAAAACAUAAAAUUGGCCAGGGAUUCCUCCAAGUGUUACCGUACUCAUAUCAAACAAAAAUAUUAAUAAUUUUUUUGCUCCUGAUUUGAGCCCAUCGGUGAAGGCAUGUCCGGCCAGGCGGCAAUUCCGGAGGCUACAUGAUAAAUCCAAACGUAUAUGGACAAAAGUAACAUCGAACAAAAUUUCUCGAGACAAAUGAUAUUCAUAAAUUCAUUUGCUUAUUUGUCCGACUUCUUUUAAGAAAUCCGAUAUAAUAUUGUUAAACUUGCUACAAAAUAGUGAUUGUAAGUUUUUUUUUUUUUUUUAAGUGCCAUUUGAAUACAGCAAAUACAUAUGAAUUGGUUGUAUUCAACCGGGAAAUUUCCCACCUCUGGAUGUCAAACUUGCUGAAUUCAUCUUGUAAGAUUAAUAUAUAUUAUACUUCCACAAAGACAAAGCAGCUGUCGAAUCUAAAUUAAGCCUAAACCUAUUCAGAUUCCAAAUGGAUGUUGUUCUAAUUCCAGGACUUUCAUCCUCACCGGCUAACUAGUAAUUGUGUGAAUGUUAUAUGUUGAUGCGAGAUUCUGGUUCUCCUCGUUCUACGACCAGGGUCUCUGCUCGAUCAACUUUACCACGACCAGGAUCUCUCCUCGUAAAGCUUCUUCUCCAGAAGUUCCUGCGCACACAGACAUGUCAGAGUACGCCGGUUGUUUUCCCAGCGCAAACCCUCCGACGCUCAAGUCAGAUAUGAAGGUUCGGGGAACGCUUGCCACAAAUCUUAUGGCUGUUAGGUUGUUUUCUCUCUUCCUUAUGUUUCGACCCGAUUCUGAUCGUCGUUCCCGGAUUCUCUGGUCCCACGCUCACUGUCUCUAGCUCCUCUACAGGUUCUUGUCUGCCUUUCUUGCUUUCCACUCGGGUGUUAAAGGAUGUUAUCUACAUUGCCUCAUUUGCUGCCGAGGAGUAGCAGCUUCUAGCGAUUCUCUGGUCCCCUCGUACCACACCAACUACCCCGUUCACCCGGUACUUGAGAGCCAGAUAAUGGAUGGACAAUACCGCUUUGCUCAUCCUUAGAAACGGCCGACCUAGGAUCAUCUGGUAAGGACCUUCUUCAUCCACCACCACAAAGUCCAGUAUCAUUGUCCUUUCCGUCGGGGAGCUCCCAAUCGUGAUAGGCAGCUCGACCACGCCCAGAGGGACUAGCUUUCCCCCUCCGAACCCCUUUAAGGAGGUAUUGGUGUAUUCCAACUUUCGGUCGGCUAUUCCCAUCUCCUCCAAAGUUGACUUAAAUAGCACAUCAACUGAGCUCCCUGUAUCAAUCAAUAUCCGGUCAAACUUCUUGCUAGCGACCGUAGCCUUGAUGACCAAAGCAUCCUCGUGGGGGUAUAGAAUCCCUUCCUCACUCUGCUCCCCUUCACUUGUUGAGGCUACCAUUGGGAAGGUCCCAUCUAUAAACUCGUCCAGAUAGCGAUUUCUCACCAAAUAUUCAACCCGGGUCUUAAGAUCUUUGCAAUCUGCUGUGGUGUGGCCAUGAGUGCCAUGGAACUUACAAUAGCGUCCCCUAUCCUUCCUGUUGGGUAGCUUUGUUAUUGGGGCAGGGGGGUACAACAAUCCUCGAUCCUUUAUGACCUUGUAAACCUCGGCCAGGGACAUCUUCAAGGAAGUAUACCGUCCAUAGUCCUGGUUCUGGUCGAUCAGGUGCACUGCCCUUUCUCUAUUUGCUCCAUUCUGAGUUGGAGGCGGUGGCAGCACUUCUGGUCUGCUCCCUCUACUACCGUGGGAGUGUUGAUGAAGACCACCAUAUGCCGAGUCAUACCUUCUUCAAGGCUCCCUAGCUGGGGAACGAGGAGGUUGAGCCCUGCUGAACUGGUACUGUGGUGGCCUCUGAUAAGGUUGGUAAGCAGUUACCCGACCUCCUACUCCACUACCCGAGGUCUGGUGGUCUCUCCUCCUGAUCGGCCCAUUUCCUGGUAAUGCUCUCUUCUCUUUCCUCCCCAACCCUUCUAACUGGUCUGUUUUAAUCCGUGCGGCAUUCUCCUCUUCAAUCUCAAUGUCUCUCUUAGCCUGCUCGUAUGCGGCCGCAUAAGUCUGAAUAACUGGGCUCCUUAAGUUGUACCACAGCCUUCCUAUCUUCACCCCUUCUUUCAAUCCCCUUAACGCCUGAGGGUGGUUGAAGGCUCCCAAGUCGAGGACAGCACGAUGAAACCUCUUGAUGAAUUCCCGAAAGGUUUCUUACUCUCCCUGCUUCAUGCUUUUCAGCUCCAUCAUGUCAUCCUCUGGUGCCAUUGCCCCACUAAACUGCUUUGCAAAUUCCUGGUACAUCUGCUCGAAGGUUUUGAUGCUGCCCUGAGGAAGUUUCCUGUACCACUCUCGUGCACGUCCCUCAAGGGAUAGUGGGAACACCCUGCACCUUUGGGAUUGAGAUAAUCCUUGUACCCCAGUUAUGUCGUUGAAGCGCUCUAUGUGUACCAACGGAUCAGUUCUUCCCGAAUAUCUAAGGUCUGGGAGGCGGAAAUCUCUCGGAAUAACUGCCCUCAUGAUCUCUGCUGCGAGCGGUGAUUCUCCGUCCAGCAUUAUCCUCCAACCAGGAGCUCUGCUCCUUCCUUACAUGUCACAAUUAUCUGCGCUAGUCUGCGCACCUCCUCCUCCAGCUGCACUGCACGACCAGGGUCACGUGCUGCAACUUGAUCCCGCUUUUGCUCUACAUCAUGUAAAUGUUGCCUCAGCACUGUUUCCUCUGCAUUCGCCACCCCAUCGUCCUCGUCAAAAAUCUGUCUUGCCGGGGACUGCUCUUCCUCUCUAUGGAAUUCUCCCCGCAGGGUUAUGUUACCUCUUUCACCACCAUGUCUCCCGGUGGUCUGACUUCUCCUCGUAUUAUCGGGACCUGGUGCCACUCCAUCACAUCUCACCCUUUCUUCCUGGGUUACCCUUCGUUCGCUCCGCAGCUCAUGCAUGAUGGUUGUCAAGGUCUCCAUCUGCUUUUCCAUCCGUUCCAUCUGGUCGAACAUGGCUUUUUCCCGUGCUUCACUGGCUAUCUCCCUCAGCGUCACGGAAUCGUUAAGCCUCAUAUCACCCCCUUGUGCACUACUUCCUCCUGUCUCCAUUGCUUUUCAGCUACUUCCCUUCUCUUCUUACUAUCAAAAGAAGCUUUUUACUCAGGUCCCCACAGACGGCGCCAAAAUGUUGAUGCGAGAUUCUGGUUCUCCUCGUUCUACGACCAGGGUCUCUGCUCGAUCAACUUCACCACGACUAGGAUCUCUCCUCGUAAAGCUUCUUCUCCAGAGGUUCCUGCGCACACAGACAGGUCAGAGUACGCCGGUUGUUUUCCCAGCGCAAACCCUCCGACGCUCAAGUCAGAUAUGAAGGUUCGGGGAACGCUUGCCACAAAUCUUAUGGCUGUUAGGUUGUUUUCUCUCUUUUAAAAUCAAAAUUGCUAAUCCUUUUACCUUCGUUGGCUACCUUUUUAUAGGCUUCCUCUGAAUCCCAGUUUUUCGCAGUCUACGUCUGUUAUCAUCCCACCUCUCGAACGUAGAUUCCCCAUUUCCGUAGUCGUUGGUGGUUGCGUGGCCUUCGUGCCUAGAUUCUCGGGCUGGAGAGCAUGCCUCGCCAACUGUCGUUGACCGGGUCUCCUCGAAUCAACCCUUAGCAGGAAUACAACAGGAAUGGCUUUAUGCUUCUUACAGGAGAUUGGACUCGCGGCUGACGUGCUCGUGGAUGAGCAGGGUAUUUCUGCUCCUGCUCCCGAGGAUACCAGGCUCUUACGGGACACACCGGUUCGCAGAACUCUGCCAUCAGAUAUCUGCUCAUCAUGCCUGGUCUCGUCGACGUAUUUCUCCCAAACAUUAUAUAGAAUUUUAAUUACAAUAGGUAGGCAUAUUGUUAAUUCUUGGGCGAGAUUUGCUCAAGUGUGGGAGAAAAAGUUCAGUGAAGAGGGCAUGUGGCGAACCUAAAAAGUCAUGAACAUGGCUUUGUGAACACGUUAAUGUUCCCGGAUCUCUCUAACAUACAUUUAAUGUAUAUUACUCCACUCACAUGAACAGUGAGUACAGUUGGGACAAGUAGCCCAGUACCAGGAAAGUUCCCCAUCCUGACCAUUUCCCUUGGCCUGGAGAAUAAAACAAAUCCGAUGUCGGGUGCAUUUUAUUUAGGUGGUGCUUUGUUAGGAGGAGAGAAUGGAAGAGAUGGAAGUAAUUUAAAUUCUCUUUUUAUUUCUAUUGUUUGGUUUGAUAAAAUAUAUAAGAACUUAAUUUCUAUUAGAAUUUAAUAUCCAUCAUAAUGUAGAAUUUUGAUUCCACACCAAGUAAUGAAGAAUUUAAAUUCCUCUUAUGUUGUAAACUAACGUCUUCAAAAUUACCCUUCAACUUUUUAACUUAUUUAAUGCCAUUAAUAAUAAUUAUUUAUAAUUUUAUUUUAUUGAUUUAAUAUUAUAAAUAGACUUCUGCCGGAAAGUUGCUAGAACUCUGUUGGACUUCACCGGAAAGUCGCUGAACCUCUGUCAGACUUCAUCGGAAAGUCGUCAAACCUCUGCCGAACUUCGCUGGACCUCCACCGGCCGCCAUCAGAUUGCCAUUUUAUUUUAUAUAUAUUAUAUCAUUAUUAAUAUAAAUAAUUUAAUAUUUAAGGUAAGAGAUAAAUUUGUCUAAAUAAAAAAAUUGUAAUUUCUUUUCUUAUCAAAUUUUAUAUCAAACCAAACAAUAAAAUUUAAUUUCACAACUCUUCUCCAUUCCUUUCUUCUCCCUUCCUCUCCAUUCUGCUAUUUUCCUCUCCUGACUUUUCUUCAAACCAAACACCACAUUACAGUAUUUGGUAAACCAUUUUUCUUUACACUUAUAGGGUAUCUUUGGGCUAAUCACUUAUAAAUUAGAUUUGAUAAUAAUCAGUUUUUUUAAUUAAAUUCAUAACAUGUUUUGUUUACUUAGAUGAUGAAAUAAUUACUUUUCAAUAAAUUUAGCAUACAUGUUUGAUAAAUUGAUUUGAAAUGUAUGGUAUCUACAAACAAUGACUAUUUCGGUGAAAAGUUGAACCGAGCAAAUGCACGUUACAACACUUGUGAUAUGGAGUUUUAUACAAUGAUCUAAGCAUUAAAAUAUUGGCGUUAUUAUCUAGUUUAUAGAGACUUUAUUUUAUACAUUGAUCAUAUUGCGUUGAAACAUUUCAAUAGUUAAGAUUAGUUUUCUCAUCAACAUGUUACUUCAACUACUUACUUUUGUAGUAAAACAUACUUAUGGUGAAUCCAAUAGGGUAGUAGAUUGGUUAGUCGAAGAUCGUCCUUGUUGACACGAAUGCGUAAUCAAGCCCUUGGAUUUGACACAUUUCGAGAGUUAUAUGCUACUAACUAUUUUUUCACUUCUUUAUUAGAAGAUACUAUUGUAGGGUUCUACUCAGAUUAUCAUUUGCAUGACGGAUUACUUUACAAAGAUAAUCAAUUAUGUGUUCCUGAACAAGUUUGAGACUAAAGGUCUUUGCCGAACUAUAUAACGAAAGAUAUAUAGGUUGUGACAAAACUCUGGCUCUAAUAGCCAAUACUUAUUUUUAGUUUACUAUGAGGUGUAAUGUUUAUCAUUAUGUCGAGACUUGUCGCAUUUGUCAAGUUUCUAAAGGCAUUGCAACAAAUGCAAGAUUAUAUUUGUCAUUGCCAAUUCUAACACAACCUUAGGCUGACAUUAGUAUUCACUUUGUUUUGAUAUUACCCCAUACUCAGAGGGGUAUGGAUUUAAUAUUUGUUAUUUUUCAUAGAUUCUUGAAAAUAGCUUAUUUCAUUACAUGCAAGAAGAAUGUAGACGCCUUAAUUGUUGCUUCCCUAUUCUUCAAGGAAGUCUAUAAAUUGCAUGGUUUAUUGAGUUCUAUGGUAUCUAACUGAAUUUCUAGUCAUUUUAGAGGACAUUAUUAAAGUUAACUAACAUCGUCUGAGUUUCAAAAGUGCUCUUCACCCUUAGAUAGACGGUCAAAUUAAAAUUGUCAACUACUCUUUAGGAAACCAUCUAUGUAAUCUAGUUGGCGAUAACUUGGAAACAUAAGAUCAAAAGUUAUACUAAAUUGAGUUUACUUAUAAUCGUUAUAUUAAGUGUAAUAUUGAUUUAAGUCCUCUUUAGGUGAAUUAUGGAUAUAAUCCACGAGCACCUAUUGACUUAGUCUCAGUUCUAGAUUUAGUUUGUAAAAACAAGAUAGAAGGCUUUAUUAAGCAGCUUAAAAAAUUUCAUACAACUAUAGAAGAGUCUAUGAAAAACCACCGAAGGUUAUAUAAGUGAAGUAGAUAAAAGGUGUCGAGCUUUAGAAUUUUAGUGGGGGAAGUCAUUUGGGUUGUCCUAACCAAAGAUAGGUUUUCAAUUGGAGAAUACAAUAAGCUUUCAGCCAGGAAAAUUAGACCUUUAGAGAUUAUAAAGAAAAUAAAUCCUAACACAUACAUAUUGAAGCUUUUUAGUCAUACUCGCACUGCAUAUGUAUUCAAUGUCAAGUAUCUUAUUCGUUUUAGAGGUGAUCAUGAUGAAGAUAUUGUUGAUGACAAUACAAAUUCGAGGGUGAAUUCUCUCUAUCCUAGGGUGGUUAUACAGAUUAGCAAUCCCCAUCAUAUUUAACUUAGUUUCCUUACUAUCUAAAGUUUAUUAUUCUUUUUCUUCGUAGUUCAGGACUAUGCUUUUCUUUUUCUUCAUGUUUAGGUGUUUAGAUAAUUAUUAGUAGUAUAAAUAACAUUCUCUUGUAGCCUUUAAAGGCAUAUUUAAAUUCAAUAAUAUUUUUAUUUUGGUUUAGUUAAUUUUAGUUAUUUUGCAGAAUCAAUGAGUCUUAUCUCUCCUAGAUGCACAAUAUUAUUUCAAAUCAACGUGAAUAUAAACCGUUUUUUUAAUUUAGUAUUCCCUAGAAUUAACGGAAUAUUAGAACAUUAAAUUUUCCCUGCGUCACGGCAGCUUGUGGUGCAAAACCACUUGAUUCUGAGUUAGAGUUUUUUGAUAUAUCAAAUGGUGACCACCACUCACCUGCAUUCACUUCCGUAUGAUGGUGGCAUUGUAGUGGCCGUUCUAUAUUGGAGGGAUGUGCAUCACUUCCAAUUCUAUUUCACCAACAAUCUCAUCUUUGUUCUGUAGGGCAAACAAUUUCGAAUCUAAACGAAUUGGUGGUUUCAAGUAAAUAGUAACUCGUUGAAAGCCAUUGAUGUCACUAGAGGAAAUUACCGACAAUGGUAGAUGCUAUAUUUUAUUUUUCAGUUAAAAAUUUUAUAUAUAACUAAAUUAACUUUUUUUUAAUAGAGUAUAAUUGGAAUAUGAUUUUGAGAUGAGUAUAAUUUGGUACUAUACAUUACAAAAUCAGAUUCUAAAAAAAUCUCAAUUUCAAGCUCCCAAUAACUUUCAAAAUUUAAUACAAAAAUAUAUUAUUUUGAUAAUAAGAUUUUCAAGAAAUCAAUUUUGAAAAAUUGGGUAUUAGAUUGUUAAAUAAUUAUUUAUUCGACAAUAUAAAAUAAUCCCAAAGAUACUCUUAUGUGUAUUUAUGUGUAUUAGUAGAUGUUGAUUUUCUUUCAUAUGUUCAAAGAUAAAUCUAACCUGGCAUAAGAAAAAUAUUCGAAUUGCACUAUCUUGAAUCUAAUCAUGGAGGAUUUCUUUGACAAUAAAUAUUAGUAUUUUACAGUGUAGAUUCCACAGUACUAAAAAUUGCUCAAAAGUCUACGGUAGCCCCAGUUGUACACGGUACCACUAGUUUUAUUUAUUUAUUUAUUUAUUUCUGUGUUUUUUAAAAGCCUUGGAAUUGCUUGCUUUUACAAUUUAAAGACUUUCUGAAAUUCUGCGAACUAUUCAUUGUCGCCGCCUGAUCUAUAUAUUGAGAAGUAAGCUAUCCAUGUUAGAAAAUUCUUCCCUUCGACUGGUUUAAGUAUAUAGUUUCCAACCAACUUCAUCGAGAAGUAACCAUGUCUGACACUAAAAUCCCACGUUAUAAUUGCAGCACAUUGCUCAUUAACGUCACCACCAGCACCCUCACAAAAGCUCAGAAGCGAUGGCGCCUUGCCUACUGGACAAUCUAUUCUUUCCGUGCUAUGCUUUCUGUUCUACCCAAAGGCCGGCUUCUCUCAGCCGAAAUCCUGACAAGUCAUGAUUACAUUGCCCUUGAUGUUGAGCCUGAGCCUAGCAGCUCUCAUGAUGAGGCAAAUAAACUUGUUUCCAACUCCAUUGAUCCUGAUAUGGAUGGAAUAAGACUCGCCGAAAUGGUGAAGAACAAAGACUCGCAUACCCUCAGCCUUCUUGGAGGAGUUGAAGGCGUGGCCAACGCUCUUGGGACAAAUCCUGAAUACGGAAUCAAUGGCAAUGAUGAAGAUGUCAGUAGGAGGUCUCAACUCUUUGGUGCUAACACUUAUCAUAAGCCACCUCCUAAAGGGCUUUUACAUUUCGUGCUGGAAGCUUUCAAAGACACCACCAUUCUAAUCCUUCUCGUAUGCGCUGCCCUGUCUCUUGGUUUUGGCAUCAAAGAACAUGGGGCAGAAGAAGGUUGGUAUGAAGGCGGAAGUAUCUUUGUAGCCGUCUUUCUGGUUAUUGUUGUCUCUGCUUUUAGUAACUUCAGACAGGCAAGACAGUUUGACAAGCUAUCAAAAAUAAGUAACAACAUCAAAGUUGAAGUUGUUAGAGAAGCCCGGCGCUUGCAGAUAUCCAUAUUUGACCUUGUAGUUGGAGAUAUUGUCUUCCUCAAAAUUGGAGACCAAAUUCCGGCUGAUGGGUUGUUCUUGGACGGACAUUCUUUGCAAGUUGAUGAGUCAAGCAUGACCGGAGAGAGUGACCAUGUUGAAGUAGAUUCAACGAAUAAUCCAUUCUUGUUCUCCGGUUCAAAGGUGGCAGAUGGGUAUGCUCAAAUGCUUGUGGUGUCCGUGGGGAUGAAUACUGCGUGGGGAGAAAUGAUGAGCUCAAUAUCAAGUGAUUCCAAUGAAAGAACUCCAUUACAGGCUCGGCUUGACAAACUAACCUCUACUAUUGGAAAAGUAGGCCUUGCAGUGGCUUUCCUAGUGCUUGUAGUUCUAUUAGCUCGUUAUUUCACGGGGAAUACAAAAGACGAAAAUGGAAUUAAGGAGUAUAACGGUAGCAACACAGACAUAGAUGAUGUUUUCAAUGCUGUUGUAAGCAUUGUCGCCGCUGCAGUCACCAUUGUGGUGGUGGCAAUCCCGGAAGGUUUACCAUUGGCUGUCACUCUCACUCUUGCCUAUUCCAUGAAGAGAAUGAUGACUGAUCAGGCAAUGGUAAGGAAACUUCCCGCUUGUGAGACAAUGGGUUCUGCAACAGUUAUUUGUACAGACAAAACAGGCACCUUGACAUUAAAUCAGAUGAAAGUGACCAAGUUUUGGCUUGGUCAAGAAUCCAUUGUACAAGAAACUUACUGUAAAAUUGCCUCAAGUAUUCGUGAUUUGUUCCACCAAGGAGUCGGUUUGAACACAACUGGCAGCGUCAGCAAACUGAAACCUGGAUCAUCAGUAGCCGAAUUUUCCGGUAGUCCAACCGAAAAAGCUGUUCUUUCUUGGGCAGUUCUAGAAAUGGGUAUGGAAAUGGAUAAAGUGAAGCAAAAAUACUCCAUUCUCCAUGUUGAAACCUUCAACUCAGAGAAGAAAAGAAGUGGAGUUUUGAUUAGGAGAAAAGCUGAUAACACAACUCAUAUACACUGGAAAGGAGCUGCUGAGAUAAUUUUAGCAAUGUGUUCUCAUUAUUAUGAGAGCAAUGGAGUGAUCAAGUCCAUGGAUGGAAAUGGCAGGAGCCAAAUGGAAAAUAUAAUACAUGGAAUGGCAGCCAGUAGCCUUAGAUGCAUUGCUUUUGCUUACAAACAAGUUUCGGAAGAAGAAACUGCAUACAACAAUGAUGUAAAGGCCCGCCAAAGGCUCAAAGAAGAAGGAUUGACCUUGCUGGGGAUAGUUGGUAUCAAAGAUCCGUGUCGACCUGGGGUGCAGAAAGCUGUAGAAGCCUGCCAAUCAGCAGGGGUAGAAAUCAAAAUGAUCACAGGAGAUAAUGUUUUCACGGCAAAAGCUAUAGCCACAGAAUGUGGGAUUCUAAGGUUGGAUCAACAAGUGGAAAAGGGGGAGGUGGUAGAAGGUGUAGAGUUCCGCAACUAUACAGAUGAGGAGAGAAUUCAGAAGGUUGACAAGAUCCGAGUGAUGGCAAGAUCUUCUCCAUUCGACAAGCUUCUAAUGGUCCAGUGCUUGAAAAAGAAAGGCCAUGUUGUUGCAGUCACUGGAGAUGGCACAAAUGAUGCUCCAGCCUUGAAAGAAGCUGAUGUAGGACUUUCCAUGGGCAUUCAAGGAACUGAGGUUGCCAAGGAAAGCUCGGACAUCGUCAUAUUGGAUGAUGACUUUACUUCAGUGGCCACCGUUCUAAGGUGGGGAAGAUGUGUUUAUACCAACAUCCAAAAAUUCAUUCAGUUUCAACUAACAGUUAAUGUUGCAGCCCUGGUGAUCAACUUCAUAGCGGCUGUUUCUGCUGGUGAAGUUCCUUUAACAGCAGUUCAAUUGUUGUGGGUGAACCUCAUCAUGGACACACUUGGAGCUCUGGCUCUUGCUACAGACAGGCCAACUGAUGAGCUAAUGCAAAGGCCGCCCGUGGGUCGCACUGAACCCCUUAUAACUAACAUUAUGUGGAGAAAUCUUCUAUCUCAGGCUCUAUAUCAGAUAACAAUCCUACUGAUCUUACAAUUUAAAGGUGAAUCCAUCUUCAACGUGAGUCCUGAAGUAAACGAUACACUGAUUUUCAACACUUUUGUUUUUUGCCAAGUUUUCAAUGAAUUCAAUGCAAGGAAGUUGGAGAAGAGGAAUGUAUUCAAAGGCAUUCACAAGAACAAAUUGUUUCUUGGAAUCAUCGGGAUAACUGUAGUUCUUCAAGUGGUGAUGGUGGAGUUUUUAAAGAAGUUUGCUGACACAGAGAGGUUGAAUUGGCAGCAAUGGUUAGCUUGUAUCGCAAUGGCAGCCUUCACAUGGCCAAUUGGUUGGGCUGUGAAGUUUAUACCUGUUACAGAGAAACCAAUAUUCAGUUACCUCAAGCGGUUAAGAUUCCUGAAGGAAGAUGCUUCUUUGUGGUAGAUUGUUUGCUUAAUCUUUGUGAAGUUUAUACCUGUUACAGAGAAACCAAUAUUCAGUUACCUCAAGCGGUUAAGAUUGAUAUUCACAAAGAUUAAGCAAACAAUCUACCACAAAGAAGCAUCUUCCUUCAGGCUCGGAACAGCAUGAGGUUUAUGGUGAGGUCCUGAACCGCCAAGGUCAUACCUGGGAAGAUUUAUAUCCCUGGGUGGCUCAGGAUUGAGCGUAUCUUUCUUUUUGUGAAAUCAAAAUAGAAACAUAAGCUCUGCCCUGAGCCACUUGAGAAUGCAACUCUUCUCAUGUGUGCCAUUAUCAAUUCAGAAACUGACCUGUGAGGCUCACAAUUGAGAGUAUCAUACACUCCAAAUGUACAUCAAUCUGAUCAAAUUAUAAAUACUCGUACAAGUAUUUACUAAUUCUAUCAUGUACCAAUAUGGUUAUCUUUUUCAACUUAAAAGAGGGCAGUCCGACAAUAUUGGUGUUUCGAGUUGGCUUGGCUACAAUUUAAGGAUUUUUCUUCGCUGUUUGACAUCGUAGCAUCCAUAAACCACAUCUCCCAACCAAGAUUGUUCAUAUUAACCUUUUCGAAUUAUUAGCAUUGUUCUGAUUUGUAUAACUAAUUGCAACGCAACCAAUAAUAAAUUCAACAGAACAACCAAAUGCAACCCAUUUUUCUCAAAACUUUCGGAGCAAGUUUUCUUUAGUGUGUGUAGGUGCCGUAUUCCAAAAGGCACCUAACCAUGCCACAUGUCCAUCUUAUAAGAUAAUAAAAGAUAUUCCAGAGUGUUUGCGGCUGAUUUUGGGUCAAUGAAUAAAAAAUCACAAAACCAACCCAAGAACAAUGAAUUUAUAUUUUUGUCGGGGAGCGGGGUACCUCGCUUGCUCGGUACGUGCGGGCUGUUUAGGCUUUUUGUGGAGUGAAAGAAGAUUGAGAUGGUGGUGGAUAUGAAGGGGGUAUGACUUCAGGUGCGGAGGGCUGGUGAAACUCGCCUUAAACUUGCGAAACAACCAAAAAAGAGAUCAGAGGUGGAGCCGAGGGUGGCCGACGACCACACUCCGACGCUCAAGUCAGAGUUGGGUUAUUUCAGGUUAGAGAGCUUGCAAGCUCUCGGUAAUGGAGGUUUUGAGGUUGAAGAAACCCUAGUUUUUGGUGGUGUGUGUGUUAACUUACUUGAUAAAAAUUAAACCUGAGUAUUUAUAUAGUGUACCUCGAUCACCAUGCCACCUGGCGCUAUUUUAGUGGCGUUCCCUGCUGUUAUGUCAGGAAUAUUCUUAUUUUCAUACUUAUGGCGGCUUAGGCGUUUUAAAAAUAUGCGUGGAGAGUAAGUUUGUGGCGUAUGCAUGUGCUGGGCGUAAUUGAGUGGUCUCGCGUACCUCUGCAAUUCCGUUGUAAUUUUGCAGGUGUAGCAGGAAAAGCUGGUGGUCCCAACUGUCAUAAUAUCAAACUUUUGGUAGAUUCGCUGGCGUGACAGGCGGUUAUCUCCUCUUUUGCAGCACGAGAUUUCCUCGCUGAUUCCUUAUUUUUGACACGUAUUAAACCGAUAUAUUUAAGAUCCAGGGCUAGGGCCGACAUAUCCCUUUACAUUUUUACGAAGACUUUUUACAUCUUUACAUGGUGUACCCGAGGUACCCCUGGAGUGCCUAGGGUACCCGAGAUACCCAAGGUAAGCUAAUGUUUUGAAUAUCGACACGUGGCGCUUCAUCAUUGGCCUCAUAUUUCCUUCCCAAAUACAGAGUAAAUAACACCCAAGUUAUUCCGGGGGAAAAACAUUUAAGGUAAAAAUUCUUCUAGAAUUUAUAAAAAUGGUAAGAGGGGGGAAUUAAUUCCGCAAUCCAUUAGUCUAAGGAAAUCACAUCCAAAUGUCAUACAAAUAAGGAAACAUAUAAGGCCGGAAUAAUUUCCUAGAUCAUAUUCGCCUCUAAGUGUACAUGCAUGAUGGGUGACACAUGUCGUUAGAUUGAAAGUUCAAAGCAAAUUCCUAAAUCCACAUCAUUCAUCAUCUAUAAAUAGAUACUCAUCUCUAUGAAAAAAAGGGGGUCUUUGACCUCUAAAAAAAACAUUGUUCAUAUCUAGAGAGAGAAAUUUAUCUUAUCCAUUUUUUCUCUUUCUUUAAUUUUAAUUAAAAACUAACUUGGGCAUCGGAGUGUCUUUUGCAGGUUUUUACCCCUCCGGAUUCGAGGUUAAGGAUCGUGACAAGUUCUCCACAAGUUACAAAUACGUGUGAAGGUAAAAAAGUCCUAGUCACCUUCAGUGUGCUUUUGAAAUGCAACAAACCAAGAUACUAGAAAUAUUUCUAAAAGAUAGUUUAAUACAGUUAAGAUAUAAUUAUACUCUCUCUAUAUAUUUAUUAUAAUUUAGAGCUUAUAAUAGCGUAUAUUGUGUAACACAUCAAUUCUACUAACAAGGCACUAUAGUGGAAUUGAAGGCACUAUAAUGUAUAUUGUGUAAUAGCGUAUAUUGUGUAACACAUCAAUUCUACUAACAAUGCACUAUAGUGGAAUUGAAGUGAAACUGUAUUUCAUCAAUCUCAUUUGUAAAACCACCAAAAUAACAUUCAAUGAUAAAUGUUCCAAAACCUCCAAAAGAAAAUAAAUUCUAAAAUAACAUAUCCUCAGAUAAAAAUCAUCUCAAAGGAAAGUAAAUUAUUCUUGGAUUAUCAACAUAACAUUAAUCCCAAAAGUAACUGAGCUCUUAUUCUGUUGGUUUAAAAAUAUUUUACAUCGGAAAUAUUUGGAUUGCAAUUCUCAUACAAUAUAAAAAAUUACCAUAAUCCAGAUAUCGUACAUUUUCUUUUUUGUUGAAAUAAUUUAGGCUCGCAGAUCAUGAUCCGUCACCAUCACUCUUGUUAGAUCACCAUCCGUCACCACCAAUCUUGUUAGAUCACGAUCCGUCACCAAUGAUCUUCCAAGUUAUGACUCAAGUUUGAUAUGCACUUGACGCGUGGGCCCCUUUUUCACCACUAAAAGCAAGUAGUAAAAGAAAAAUUCCUCUCAAAAUUAGAAAGAAAAACUCUUUUUCUCUGAUCUGGAUAUUGUGGCUCCUCUAUCUUUUUUGUGGAGAAAAAAAUUCUAUUUAUAUCUCUAUUUAGUAUAAACCAUAGGCUCCAUAUUAAUUUUUUUAUAUUUUUAAUUCUAUUAAAUCAAAUUUGAUUUAAAUUAAAAAAUAAAACCAAAAGUGUUAAUGUUAUAAAGGCCCACCUUGUAAAAUAAUACAAGGCCUCUUACAUACAAGCACAUUAAAUAGAGUCUCCUACUAAAUAAUAUAUUUAAACUUUUAACUCAAGUAGACAUAAUAAAGACUAAACAUAAAAAUCAACAUAAUUUUCAGAGAUUAUUGGAAUAGACAGAAAAAUCACAUAAUCAGACAUGCUGCUGAAAAUCGAAAUUUUCUAGCACUACUAUUCUAAUUUCAAAAAUUCACAACAAAUUAAUUACUUGAAAUCUCUUUGCACAAAAUUUAUCAGUGAAUGCCUUAGAAUGUUUAGUUUAAUUCUAUGGUAACUUUCGUGGAAAAAAUUGAAUCAAAGACAAAGAGAAAAUAGUAUUCAAAUCACAACACUCAUGUCUCAUAUUGCUUAACUAGUCAUUCAUGAUAAAAAGAACAAUACAUGCAUUCGUCAUCAAACACAUAAUAUUACAAAAUAUGUACUAAAGAAAGAUAAUUACCUCAAAAGUUAUUUAAAACGUGCAUAAAAGAAAACCUUAGAAUUCUUUACUUUUAUACGAUUAUUAGGUUAAAGAGUUUUAAUCGUAGAGAGAAAGAAAGAGUUUGAGUUUUGUAAAUAUACAUUUUUAAAAAAAUAAAUAAAUAAAAGAAUUAUGCUUUAUCUCAAAUAAUACUAAUUCAAAUAAUUUAACACAAGCAACGAUAAACAACUAAACAAAUAAGCAUAAUCAAACAAACAAGGAACGAUUGUUACAUAUUAAAACGAGUAUGAAUCAAGAAACCCAACCAAAAAGGAAAAACAUGCGACUUUGAGUGAAUAUAAUUAGUGAUGGGCAAUACUUACGUGGACAAUUAAUUACAGGCAAGAGGCAAUUGUUAUUCAUGUCUUAUGAUCAUAGCCUCAGUUUAUUCACCAGAAAAUCACAUGACGAUGAUUGGCAAAAAGACGAUCAACAAAUGCAAGUGAACUGAAGAAGAGAAGAGGAUCGUGAAUCAGUAGCUGUUAUGGUUUUGCAAACAAAAUUGCUCAAAGAAAUCACAAGAUCGAAGUAAAGAAUAAGAAAGAAUCAACAAGAUCAAAGAACAAAACUAAAAAUACAAUGAAUAAGCUUCAUUGUUUGAAGGAAAAACAACAUGCCUUUUAUUACUGAAACUUAUUACCCAUCAAUUAACCUUUAUAGAAGAGAUUACAAGCUUUUAAAGAAAAUAAGAACCACUAAAUUUGGUUAAGAAACGAAUGAGAAAGAACCCAAAAAAUUGGGUGCUGUGCAAUAACCUUUCUUAAUAUUACUAGAAAUUUUCCAAAAACACACUUCACAACCUUAACGACAUUACUUACGUCAGCAAAAUUAUUUGCACACUUACUCUUAGAUUGUAGUUAAUCAGCACUCUGACCCAUGAAUUCUCUCUAGUUUGCACUUAGGUCCCAUAAAGAGAAUUCAUUUAUUCACAGUCUCCACUUUACUGAUAUGAUAUAGUUUGACAUUCAACCACAAAAGCUGCUAAAAAAAAAAAAAUCAAGCACACAAUUAUCACAAUAAUUGCACAAAGUAAUUAACAAGUACCGACUAUAACUCUUAUCAAAUCAACUUAAAACUUGAACUUAGUAGCAGAGAUGACAUUGGUAAGCACAUCAGCUUGGUUAACAUCAUUAUGUAUUUUGGAUACUACCAAAACACCUUUAGCUACCUCAUCUCUUAUUAAAUAAAGUUUAACAUCAAUGUUCUUAGUCUUCUAAUGAUAAAUCUGAUUUUUAAUGAGAUGAAUGACACUUUGAUUAUCACAAAAAUUGUAACUGUCUUUUGUUCUAACUAAAGUUUAUUUAAGAUCCCAUUAAACCAUUUUGCUUCUUUUAUAGCUUCAAUAGUAACAACAAACUCAACUUCUGUAGAUGACAAAGUGAUAGUAGGCUAUGAGCUUGCUUUCCAGCUGAUCAGACAACCAUUCACCAAGAUUAGAUAACUUGAUAUUGACUUUUUGCCAUUCAAAUCCCUAGCAAAGUCAGAAUCAAUAUAUCCCACAAUUAUCUCAUCAUCCUGCUUUGCUUUACCAUAUAUUAAAGCAUGAUUUGAGCUGCCUUUAAGGCAUCUCAUGAUCUCUUAAUUGCAUCUCAGUGUUCCUUACCAUGAUCACUCAUAAACCUACUGAUAGCACUAAUAACAUAAGAAAUGUCAGCCCUUGUACAAAUUAUAGCAUAUAUAAGGCUUCCAACUUCUUGUGCAUAUAGUACUUUAUCCACCAAGAACCUAUAUUGUCUUGUUGAAAGUGCUUGUAACUUGGAGAGUUUGAAUUGCGGACCCAAAUAAGUCAAAACAGGCUUUGUAUCUAGCAUGUCAAACUUGUCAAGAACUUUUUUAAUGCAUCUCUUUUGGCUGACAAACAAGGUAUUUUUGCUUUUAUUUUUGAUAAUGUCCACCCUAAGUAUCCUUUUUGCACAACCAAGGUCCUUCAUUUCAAAUUCUCCACUCAGAAGCCUCUUAAGCUUCUCACUCUCCACUUUUAUUUUUCUGGCAAUCAGCAUAUCAUUAAUAUAUAGCAGAAGAUAAAUUGCUCUACCUAAAUUUAAGCCACCAAAAUAGACACAACUGUCAUAAUUGCUUUUGAAAUAGUCAUUUGAGUUUGUGAACUCAUCAAACCUCUUAUAACAUUGCCUAGGAGAUUAUUUAAAGCCAGAGAGAGAUUUGUUCAACAAACAAACAUGAUCUUCCUUCCCUUUUACUUCAAACCCCAAAUGUAAAAAUCUCUUCUUCUAUAUUCCCAUGUAGAAAAUCAAUUUUUACAUCUAUUUGGUCUAGCUCUAAAUCAAUCAAAGCCACCAUAGACAACAAUAUCCUUAUAGAGUUGUGUUUCACUAUAGAGGAGAAAACUUCAUUGAAGUUCACUUUUGUCUCUGUGUAAAUCCCGUAGCAAUUAGUCUUGCUUUGAUUUUUGAAGCCUCUGCAUCUAAAAUCCCUUCUUUUCUUUUAAAAAUCCACUUACAACUCACUAGUGUCUUAUUCCCUGGAUUUGGAAUAAGAGUCUAGGUUGAUUUCUCAUUAAGGAAUCCAUUUUUUCAGACAUGGCCUUUAUCUAAUUGCUGCUAUCAUUGUAUUUAACUGUUUCUGAGUAGUUCCUAAGCUCUUCAACUACAAUAUCUUCUACAUUGAUGAGUGCACAUGCAAUCAUCCUAACAUAUACAUAUUUGGCAGGUCUUUUAAUCUGAUUUUGUCCUUUGCUAGUUGGUAAUUUUGUAAAUCAAUUUCAGAUGCUCUUAGUUCAUCCACUUCAGACCUUUCUUGAAAGCCUUUUAUGACAUCCUUAUCUUGGACUUCAUUAUCACUGCUACUAGAUGACUUUACCUCGAUUUUAGAAUCUUUCACAAUUGUGAUUUCCUUUAUUAACUCAUUAGUAUAGGGACUCAUAUCAAAGACAUCAGUAUCUUUAUCAUUGAUUAUUACUUCCUCAUAAAAUGUCACAUCUCUAUUAAUAAUACAUUUGUGAGUAAUCUUAUACCAAACUUUGUACCCUUUAACCCCUUCAUGAUAUCCUACAAACACCCUUUUAGAGCCUUUAUAUUAAGCUUCCCUUGCUUCACAUUAACAUAUAUUAGACAAUAAAAAAUUCUCAAAUAUUUGUAGUUUGUAGGGAAAUCAUCCCAAAUUUCUUCUAGUGUCUUUAAAUUUAAGGCUGCAGAAAGACUCAUAUUCACCAAGUAACCAGUUGAAUUAGAAACUUCUUCCUAAAAGCUUCUUGGUAAUUUGGAGUUAACUAGUACACAUCUUGUCUUAUUAAUGAGAGUCUUAUUCAUUCUCUCAACUAAGUCAUUUAGCAGACACCUUACAUUUUUGUGCAUGAUAAUUCCACACAUUUAGCUAUAAUCAUCAAACUCUUUAUUAUGAAAUUCAAGCCCAUUAUCAGUCUUUAAAACCUUCACCUGUAAACCAAUAUAAUUCUCAACAAUAGCUUUCCAUAUUUUAAACUUCUGAAGAGGUUGACAUUUGUUUUAACUAUAUACAACUAUAUGUUUCUUGAGUUGUCGUAUGUUAAAGUCAUGAAUUACUUUCCACUACUGAAUGAUGGAACUUGAGCAAGCCCCCAUAGAUCAGAAUGCAUAUAUUCCAAUUACAUUCUUGGCCUUAUGCAAUCCCUUCUCAAAUUUUACUCUGUGAGCCUUUCCAAAGAUGUAAUUUUCACAAAAAUCCAGCUCUUUAAUUUUAUCACCAUACACGUACAUUAGCCCCUGCUUGCUCAAUUCUUGCAUGCCCUUAGUAUUUAUGUGGCCAAGUCUUAGAUGCCACAACUUAGCUUUGUCAACAUUAGGUUCAAUAUGCAGAGUAGAUAACAUAGUCACAAAUAAGCCUUCCAGCGCAUAGAGCCCAUUUUUCUUGACACUUUUCAUCACUACAUCAGUGUUUUUCAUUAUCUUUAAACUACUGUGGUAUGAUUUAAAGAAAUACCUCGAGCUAUCUAGCAUGCCUAAAAAAAUUAGAUUCUCUUUUAGUCCAGACAUAUGCCUUACAUACUCUAGAGUCUUCGUUGUUCUAUCAUACAUUUUGAUUUUCACAGUACCAAUACUAAUAAUUCAUAAGCAUUGUGGUUACUAAUCAAUACUCUACCACCAUCAGUAGGCUCAAAUUCAUGAAAAGACUCUUAUCAGGACUCAUUUGGAAAGAACACCAAGAGUCAAUAACUUACUAAGCUUUAAUCUCUCCAUUUGAUGCAACUAGUAGAUUGGCAUUGUGAUAGAACAACCCUUACCUAAAUGUGAAGGCUUUAUUCAUGAAAAAGGCUUUUGAAUCUUUUUUUUUUUUUUAGCACAAGUAAACCUUCACAUCUUCUAACGUAAGGGUUGUUCUAUCAUAUAACAUGGUGUCAACAAAGCCCUUAUGAGACUUUGGUAGUGAGCUCAAUAAAAAAAAAAAAAAAAGCCUUGUCUUCACCACCAAUCUUGAUAUUUUCAACCCUUUCAGGAUCAAGAAUGAUAUUGUUGAAAACAUCAAUAUGAUCUUGCAUUGAGAUACCUUCUUUCAUGGAAAAUGUAUACAACCUCUUCUUUAAGAAUAACCUAUGAGCCAAUGACUUCUUUAAGCAUAAAGCCUCCACUUUAUUCCAGAUACUAAGGCUGUUGUUUCCCUUAAAAUCUCCCAAGAUUGCAUCAUUAAGAUUCAAAAUCAAUAUGUUGUGUGCUCUGUUAAGAAUCUACCUUUUCUUUUCAUUAGGUUUAGAACUUGUUGCACUAUCUAAAUCUUCUUCUUUUUCUUCUAGGGCUGACUUAAGCCCUUGAUGAAUCAGCAAUGUCCUCAUCUUCAAUUUCCAGAGAGAGUAAUCACCAAUAAUAAUGAACUUCUCAAUGUCUAAUUUAGAAAGAGACAUAUUUCACUAGGGUAAAUCUAGGUUCUGACACUAAUUGUUAUGGUUUUCCAAAAAAAAAAUUGCUCAAAGAGAUCACAAGAUUAAAGUAAAGAACAUAGAAAGAAUCAAUCAUAUCAAAGAAGAAACUAAAAACACAAUGAACAAGUUUCAUUGUUUAAAGGAGAAACAACAUGCUUUUUAUUAUUCAAAGCGAUUAUAAAUCAAUCACCCUUAUUGAAGAGAUUACAAACUUUCAAAGAAAACAAGAAUUAUUGAAUUUGGUUGAGAAACAACUCAAAAAACUAGGCGCUAUCCAAUAGCCCUGAAAUUUUCUAGAAACACACUUAGCAACCUUAGCGACGCUAGCCACGUCAGCAAAAAUAUUUGCACAAUGACCCCUAAACUAUAGUCAAUCAGCACUCUGAUCCACGAACUCUCUCUCGUUUGCACUGAGGUCCCAAAAACAAAAUUCAUUUCUUCACAGCAGCGUAUCCCGAUAAACUAAGGCUAUGUUCAGUUGGCAGGAGAGAAGCCUGGAAAGGAAAGAAUCUCAGUUUCCUAAGAAGUUUCCUCUAGUCGGUUUGCAACAAUUUACUGUUGAAACCAAAUUCUGUGAUUUGAGGAAUUGACUUUCCUCUUUGAUUAGCAAGGAUGACGAGGGAGGGAAUCUCAUUUAAAUAGAGUGAGUUUCCAUUUUACCCUUAAAUAUUAAUUUCGUAUUUCAAUCUUUAACCAAAUUAAAUGAAAUAUGACCCUAAUUCGCAUUUCGUGUUCAGCAUCUCUCUUAUCUGAACUAUCGGCAGCUAUCACCGGCGAAAUGCAGCUAUUGGGACGGCGUUUGAAUCUUAUUACCUUUCGCCGAUGAGCUCCAAGCCAAUGACAAAGACCUUCAUUGCUAUAGGCGACGACAUUUGAAUCGUAUGAGCUUUCUCAUCCCUUUCAUCCAUUUUAAUUUUGUUUCUUUGGUUAUUUUGAUGGUAUUGCUGACUUGAAGAGGGCUACUGAGUCUUUUGUUGCUUGAAUUUGGAUUAGUUUUUGUUAUUUCAGACGUGGGAUUUUGUGUCGCUGUUGUAGAUUUUGUUGUUUUAUGUUGUUUAUGGAUGAUUAAGUUUUAUUUCGUAGCUUACUGUUCAGAGUUGACAAAACGUAAAUAGCAGCCCAUUUAUAAUUUGAAUAUGAUCUCUUGUUCUGUUGCUUUUUAAUUAAUGGUCAAUUGUGCAAGUUAAUUUUCAUGGAAGGUUGUUAUUGAUCAUCAACUUAAUCUUCAAUUUUCAUGUUUAACUAGAUGCCGUGAUUAUGAUGAUUAGUUUAACUGGGAAUGUCCUUUUCAAUUUGCAACCAUGACAAGGAGAUGGGGUUCAGGACGAAGGGUAAUAAUCUCUGCUACCUUUCUGGGGAAGUUUACGUGUGUGUAUAUAUAGAAUCAUGGACGGUUUUAGGAGUACAAGUGUCCAGCUUUUUAAUUUUCUUUUUCUUUUAGCUUUUAUUCCAUUGCCUACUUUUGUUUUCUAUCAGUUACAACAUUUUCUUUUACUAGUUUAUCAACAGAUGGGGAUUAUUUCAUGAAUAAUUGCUAAAAGUUGAACUACCAAUACCCCAUAGAAAUGUCCAAUAUGUUAACGUAGCCAGCCACUGCCUGGUUCCUUUUUAUCUUUCUAUUGCUUUAUGCCUCUUGGGCUUAAUAUUUCUAAAAUUAUUGGCCUAAAAGUAAUUAAACCCUGUUAGUCGCUGUUUUCACUUAUUACACUCAGCAUAAUACCCACAUUGAAAGUAAUUCUAGGCCUAGGAAGAGGAUAUAAAUCAUUUUCAGCCCAGCAAGGCCCCAUUAUUUGAGACUUUUUGGAAAACAUUAGGACUAUCCUUUGAUUGAAAAAUGAAGUAUUAUUGACCAAUUGAUUGAAAAAGAAAUGAAUAUAUUUGUAUAUAUUAAUUCAAUUUGAUUAUCUGGUGAAAUGCCAGUGAAACAGCAGCUAGGCUAAGGCUAGCAAUGGACAUGCAAAUAUGCUGUUUCCAAAUAAACACCUUUGUGCUGCUGCUUGAGUUGAAAUUAGCGUAGUCAGCAGUGAAUAUAUUGCUCUAUUGGAUUCAAAUGGUGAAUUAAUUUGAAAGAAAAAGUGAGAAAAUUAAUGGUGAGUGAUAAAUGCCAACGUUGUAUGUUCACGGACUGAGAGUUGGAUAAUAAUACUUGGUGCAUUUAAGUAAUUAAAAUUUAGAGACAUUGUAUGAUCAUCCACUGAGAACUGGAUAAUAAUUGCGACAUGGCUAGCAAUUUUUGUCAAAGUCCUUGAUUCAAUAUUCUGUAAACAAAAGCUAGCUGGCUUGUAUAAAUUGUCUAAAUUUGUAUCUAGUUUCACCUUUGAAAAACUUGGUCUUUCACUUCUAAUAUUAGUGAUGGCUUAAUAGAUAUUAAUUUGGAAAUUUUGAUUGAUUUUAGAAGGCUGUGAGGUUUGAUUUGUUAAAAGAGACAGCUGAAAAUUAGUGAUGACUUAAUAGAUAUUUCAACGUAAACACUGUUAAAAGAUUUAUUUUUAUUUUUUUCUUUUGGUUGUGGAAUUAUUUGUUGAUAUAACUAAACACUGUCUUUUCUUUUUGUUUUAUUGGUUACAAUAAUGAAUGACUUGUGCUUAACUGUGUUUGCUAAUAUCAGUAGUGAUUCUUUAUAUAUAUAUCUGUAUAUCUACAUAAGACAUGCUCUGUUUCCUCAGCUGCAUCCCAACUGCAGUUUGAAUUUAAUUCAGCUGGUGGAGAUGAUGGAACCAUAAGGUAUAAUCGAGCCACGUCAAUGCAUGCAGCCAGAGAUCGUUGAUCACAUUCAUCCUAAGCUUUCAGAUUACAAUGACUUGGCUAGAAGAAAGAAGAUAGCAGUAUUUUUUAUUCAUUUCUUCCCACAAUUGAUAUUCAUGAUGAAUUUCCUGUGUGUCAUCAUGUUAAUUAUGUUUAUCCUUUUUUUAUAUUAAAAAAAUUAUGUUUUUAUUUAAGUUUUUAUUAUUUCAUUUUCUGAGCUGUGGAUACAAUAAUAUUCAUGUCGUAAAUCAUGGCAAGAGCACUUCCAAUAAAAAGCACUAAAAGUACUAUAAACCAUCAUAACAUGUUACGUAAUUCGAUCAUUGAGAAUGAAACAUACAAAUUAUUGAUUUUUAAAUUGUUAAAUAUAUUUUUACUUUUUAAAUUAUAUUCAGGAUUCCCCUUAGGUGCAACUGUGGCACGGUGCCACUGUUGCACCGUAGCCUGAUCCUUAUAUUCAAUAAUAAAUAUUAAAAAUUUAACACAAAGGGUAAAAAAUUGUCCAAUUAAAAAAGGCUUAAUUCCUUUUUUCUAUGAUUUUCAUGUCAAAUCAAACAACAGAAAUUGAAUUCCUUACUCUUCUUUUUUUCCUACUCUCCUCUUUUUUCUUCUUUUCUACUCUCCCCUUCUUUCUUCCAACUAAAUAUAGCGUAAAGGCUCAGUGUAUUUCUAAUUGUUUUAAUUUAAAAAUAAAAGUGUUUAUUCCGAAUUAAUGUUUAUUUAAAAUUGAAAAUCCUAAUUUCCAAAAAAGAAAAACACUAAAAGUUCGUUUUGUAUUAGCUGCUCCUAUAGUUAAUUUUUAUUUGAGGAAAACUAUUCGGAUUUAAUUUUACUAUGGACUUUUGAGCAAAUUAUGGAAUAUGGGGUACUUCCACGCCUCAUUCUUGAGGUCUGGAGUUUAAGUAUUCUUGUGGGCAGCCAUUGAUUAUUCACAUUAAUUUUCCUAUAGAAAUUUGAGAAUUUACCCAGUACACUAAAUUUAGUGCAUAGUUACAUUAAUUUCAGUAGGUUCUUGUAGAUUUAUAAUAGUAAAUAUUAGUCAAUUGUAAUGUUAUUCACAAGGGCGAAAAAAGUACAUUUCAAAUUAAUGUAAAACAAUAAAUGGUUUUUCAAUUUUUAGAUAUAACUUUUUAAACUUUUUUUUUGGGGGGAGGGGGGAGUACUAGUUAAUUUUACUAACAAAACUUUAAACAGUUGAGUAGAAAUAUCAUAGGAUUAUCAUUGGGCAAUACUUCACAAAAAAGUAUAUUCUUAAGACUAGAUUUUGUGACGCAUAUUGUCUUUUCUAGUGAUUGUAGUUUCAAAACGAUAAUUUAUUGAAUACGGAACAUUACUUUUUGUUUUUAAUUUUUUUGGGUGGGGCUAUAUGCACCUUUAAAUUUUCUCUGAACACUCAUAUUUUUAUAAAUUUUUUACUACAAAAAUACCUAUAAUAUAAAUUACUAUUAAGGAUACUUUAUUAUGAGCGUAUAUAGUAUUAUUAAUCUGAACAUGCAUUUAGACACCGAAAUCAAUGGUUGAUUUUCUUACCGUUUUAAACUUUAAUUUCUUCCAAGUACCUUAAACAAAAGUUUAUAGAGAAAACUCAAUAUGUCUUAAGAAUUUAAUGUUGAUGAGAUGUGAGAUCCUUUUGAUUUUCUAUUUUACAACACAAAAAAUCUUUAAUGAUCAAAGAUAUAUAUGACAAUCAUCAACCCUCUUCCUUGUUCUUCCCCCUUGCUGAUUUUCUCUAUUUUGAAUGAAUGAAUAGUUCAUGAUGUUGCCCUCUUUGUCAUAAGUGGUUUAUAAGCACAUGGCUUCAAUGGUUAGGUAGUUAAAUUGUACUUUUUAUUUGCAAGACAUAGCUUCAACUCAAACUUUCAAUGUUAAUUCAGAAUACUUAAUGGAUUAUACUAAUGAUUUAUCAAAUAUGAGGCGAGUUUCAUUUUCCAAUUUAGUAUUGAGUAAAUAUUUUACAAUUUGUUACCCUAAUUAGACUUUGAUUGCAAAAUAGAAUCUGAAUACUAUCGUCAUUGGAAACUUCAAACUUUGCUUACCUUCUGGUUUUAGGUUGGUACUUUAUUAACUUAUUAUAGAGGAAAAUUUUCUGCUGAUACAAAAUGUGAAUAAUGCAACGUGCAUUUAUUCUUUGCCAAAUCUAUCAAUCAUGAGGUGACAUCCUAUCCCACCUCUAGCAGUCAAUUGGUAAAGAUUUCAUAGUUUUUGUGCCAAAGGAUGGGAGACAAUAUGCAUUCCUCAUGCAACAUUUCAAGGAAAUAAUUGGUGGCAAAGUAGCUAUGAAAGAAAUAAUAAUAGAUGUUGACGGCAAUUCUCAAUAAAUUUCUUGAUUUAUUUUUGCUUGGAAGAUUAAUUAUUUUUUGUAUGACUCUAAUUACUUCUUUUUCAGUUAUAUUAUGAUGAUAUUAAACAAGUUUAUAUUGUUUAAUUGAUUUAUUUAUUUGGUUUAUAAUAUUUAUUUCUCACGAUAUUUUUAUAGGUAAAAUAUUUUGAUGAGUUUUGUUAGUUGCUCCUAUUUUGUUAUUUAUCAUUCUUUGUUUAUUGGUGAAAUUUAUUAUAGAACCGAAUAAUUAAAUUUUAAUAAUAAAAGAGUGUUUAGAGAAAUUUUUUGAGUGUGUAGAGAGUAAAUAAAGAUAAUUAAUUUAAAGAAAAUUAAGUGAGGAUAUUUUUGACAUUUUAAAGGGUGUACAAAGUAUAAUUCAUUUUUUAAAAUUAAUAAAUGAGUGUGUAUGAUAAUAAAAUGUUCAAAAUAACUUUUAGAGUGCAUAUAGACCCACCCAAUUUUUUCCCAGGUCGAGUAACACAAUGUUUCCUCAAAUGCACAUAUUUUCUUGUUCAUAUUAACUACAAAAAUACAUAGAAAUAUCCAAGAUUUUUAUCUUUAAUCCAAAAAACCAUUGAGUUUCCCAAGGUUGACCCAAACAACCCAAAAUUAGCCCCUAUGAAAAAAAAAAAAAAAAAAAAAAAAGCUUGAAAUAACAGUAGAAGGGGGAAGUAUUGCUACUUGUACUUUCGUUUUCAUAUUAACUACAAAAAUACAUAGAAAUAUCCAAAGAUUUUUCUCUUUAAUCUAAAAAACCAUUGAGUUUCCUAAAGUUGACCCAAACAACCCAAAAUUAGCCCCUACGUUAAAAGGCAAAAAGAAAAGGAUCGAUGGUUACAAGUUGAAGUUGACAGCCUCUAUAUUGCUCAGCUGCUCACUACUCCUACGGUAACAGCUAAUGAAUUUUCUCAAUUGAUUAGGUCCGUUAAAGAUCUUAUUAAUCGUGAUUGGCACAUUAGUAUUAAUCAUGUUUAUAGGGAGGCUAAUUAGCAAACUAUGCUCUAUAAUGUUCCCAAACCCUCCUCUGGCAUCAUCGAUUAUUUUCAACAUGACAUAUAUGAGGUAGCUUACUCCUGUUUUGUUUUACCCUAACUCCUUUUUAGAACCCCUUUGUAUAAAAAAAGAAAAAAGAAAAAAAUAUUGAAAUAACAGUAGAAGGGGCAAGUAUUGCUACUUGCAAGAUUCAAAACUGCUUAUUAUUUGCCAAAUAUUAAUUGAUAUUUAAAACCCAAACGAUAUACGUUGAUUUUGUUAUAUAGUAGCACAAAUCCUGAACAUUUGAGUAAAACCUACUCCAUCCGGUGAGGAGCCCGUGAAGGCUCGAACCAGGCAUAGUAAUAAACUAUUCGUCCAAUCUCUUUUUUUUUUUUGGACAAAACUUUAACUUGUCAUUCUAUUUCUACUACUAAUUGUUAUUGGUGGAUAUCCUCAUUUAAAAUAUCGUUACCAACCAUCAUCCUAGAUGCCUACACAUGUCACAAGGGAACCUAAGCGUGAAAAUAUAAAAAAAAGAAAAAUAAAAGCAUAGAAAAGGGGGGGAAAGUUGGGCACAUGGGGAAUCAGCCAUAAGUAGCAAGGUAUCAGACCCUCGCCCAGAAAUCUCUUGAUGGCUGAUGAGGGAAGCUGAAUUCUCGAGAAAAAUAGUUGGGAGAAUCGAAUCAGUUGUCCUUUUCUAUUUGAUAUAAUACGGUCUAGCUUACAAAACUAUAAUAAGAGUGGAUUCUCUUGCCCGACUUAGCUUUCAAACAAGAAGAGCUGUCGAAUUCCAAUUUCAUGUAAAUAGAAUCAAGCAUAAUUAUUUCUUCAAAAUAGUAUCUAUAACCAGAUUCCAAAAGCCUAAAAAAAAAGAAAAAUUGGGAUGUGAUUUUAUGUAUUCAGCCGAAUUGACAUGUGAUACUAUGACGAGCCACGUAUUUAGCCAUACUUGUUUUAAUUACUUUUAAAUCAGAUCAAUAGGACAAAGAAUUACCCAUUAUUCGGGUGAUAAAAUCUCCUCUUUCUAAACAUGUGUGCAUAGCAUAACAUUGCGAGGGAGAUUUGCUUCUAAUGAUUUGAAAAUAAAUCAAGCCCAAACAUUUGGGAAGCACUACCAAUGUGAAAAAUCAAUACAAUAAGAUUAUGCUUAGAUUAUUCAAAAUACCAAAAGAUACGUCAUGUAACCUAUUCAUUCAAGUAAAGAAAAUUUGGCCGACAACCUCUUGGUUACGUAUUUUGUGUUUGUAAAAAUUGUUUGAUAUCUAGAUUAUAUUUUCCCAAAAGUUUAGUGUUUGUAAAAUUCCCUCUUGAAUUCAACUAAUCAUUUCUUCUAAGUAAUUAUUUUACUUUAUAAAAUAAAUAUUUUUUAUAUGUUUUUUGCUAUUGCAUAGAUAUGACACCAUUUAUGACAAUACGUUUAAAAUUCAGUGGAGACAAAUCUACUGUAAGAAAAUAAAAUUUUAAAAAAUAAAUAAAACAUGGAAGAUUUUGGGUAUAAUAUCAUGACGAGUAAAAGAUUAGAGAGGACAGAGAAAUGAAAAGAUGAAGGAAGGCGUUAGAAAAUGAGUUGGGAAAGGAAAAAGGUAAGAGAAAGCAGGCUAAUUUAGUUUAAUAAUGGUAAUUUUAUGUAUUGAAUUGGGUUUAUAAAGUAAAAAAACUUUAAUUUAAAAAUUUCAUACUAUGCUUAUUUAAUAAAUGAGUUUUGUAAGCAUUUUGAUGGAUUCAAAUAAUCUCAUCCUUAUUAUUAUUUGUCUUUGAAUUUUUUUGAGAAAGUCUAAAUAAGCUUUGUUCUAUAAUUUUUUGUCAAACGAAUACACAAUAAGGCCUAUGCCAUGACAUUGCAUCAAACAACUUAUAUGUGUUAUUGUUUAAUGCGCAUUAUGUGCUCAAUUAGAAAUAUCGAGAGCUUUUUAUUCUAACACUUGUUAUUGUUCUUCAUUUUCACUACCAAAGUCAUAACAAUUACACCACCAAUACAACAAAUUGAUUUGAUGCUAAAAAAGACGCACUCUCAUGAUGUUUAGCACUUGAUUGCAUGAUUAAAUUCAAUGGAGAUAUGAGAGUAUAAAAAUUUAUUGAAUUAAUGGAGUGGUUUUGGGGGAAAAAUUUAGAACAUGUUCUUUUUAGUGCAUUUUUAUCAACAAAAUGAGUUUUUGACUAUUAAAACAACAGAACAAGAUGAAUUAAAAGGUCGAAAUAAUUAAAAUAAAAAAUAAGAAAAUUUUUGAUAAUUCUCAAACUAAUUUUCGAAGGGGAGGUCUCAUCGAAAUUCUUUAUUAAUUUUUUUUAAAAAUAUAUUCUCAAUAUACAGUCAUUUUCAACGGGAUUGCUCUCGAAAAUCCCAAUUAAAAUAUGCGUUAUCUUCAAAAUCUCUUUGUUUUAUAACAUCCUUAAAGAGUAAUGAAAGAGGAGUCAUAUAAUUAUGUAACAUUAAGCUAAAAGUUUCUAAUUUUUAGAGUUCAAUCUUUGUAGAAACUUAAUUAUUUCCUUUAACGUGUACAUGGGCACCUUCCUAAUUGGUGUGAAUAAACUAGAGACUUUAUUAAUCAAAAUGAAAAAUAAACCUAAACGGUUUAGCAUUUAUAAGAAUCAAAGUUUGAAGUGCUUUUUCACUUUUUCCUUUCUCUUUUUUCACUGGUUUAAAUAUUCAUAUAUGAUUCCGUGAGUAAAUUAUUCAUCGUCAAGACCGAUAUAACUCAAAUUAAAUAUAAAACUGUGAGAUCAUAGCUAAUAAUUUUUUUUGGGUAAAUUAACUAAAGAAAAAAGAAAGAAAGAGAGGGCGGGGGAAAAAAAAAAAAAAGACAAUGUAAAGGCUCUGUGCAUGAGGGAUAAGAUGGGAUCUUUAAAAGCACCAACCAGGUUUAAGCGGGAGAAAUUCUGUCACUAGAAACCCUAACAGUGAUAUCUUUACCCUGUUAAGAUUAAAGAUUCCCCAGCAUAGUUCGAUAUUAAAAAGCGAAUAAGGAUAUGCCAGUUGUUUCUUAACUUAUAUUAUUUGUCCAUAAACAUUGCAAAGCUCAAGACUCCAAUUAAUAUUUAACAAAUUUAAAAAGAGAUGGGUCUUUCUUUAACUAUGUAUGCUAGCUCAUUUGGACCAACUACAAUUUGCAGUCAUGCACUAGAAUGGACAAGUAAAAUAACCUAUUGAAAUUAAUUUUUUUAAAAAAAAAAACAACUUGUGAUCUCAAGUUGAAGAGUUAUCACCAAAACCCUUUAAAAAAAAAGCAAGAAACUUAAAAGAACAGAUUGCAUCAUCAUGAGAAAGAAAUAUAAAAAUAAGCACAUAUUAUACAACAGUAAAUACUUGGCACCCAGGCGGGGAAAUUAAUAAAAGGGAAAAAAAAUAACAAAACACUUACUCAUGGAUAGUGGGAUAAUGAGGCAGCAAAGAAAAAUGACGAGGAGGUGAUGAAUUCGUGAUCCGAUCAACAGGUGAAGCUACCACAUGAUCCGAUCUAUCCUUGACAGUGAAGGAAGUUUAGAUCAUGCUGGCAGCUUCAACUGCUGCUGGUUCACGAUAUGAUGCUACUAUAGAUAUAUAAAUAUGCUCAGAGCUCAAGCUCAUCCUCAUCCUCAUCCCCAGAGACCAAGCUGAAAAAAAAGAAACAGAGAUUUAUUUGCUGUAUUAUAUAUGCUUGAGAAGAGGAAAGGAAGUGGCCGGAUAUAAAUAGAGGCAAUAAGGUUAGUUAUGUUUGGUGAUUUGGUUAAUACACACAGGAACAGAACUGAAAAAGUAUUUUGUAAUUAAGUAUGAGAAUAUUAAAUAAUUAUGCGAAGCAAACACAUGGCAGUGGUCCAAAGCAACAGACAAAUUGAAUAUUAUCAUGGCCACGCCACUCCAUGCAGACAAAGUGUAUAUAUAUAUAUAUAUAUAUGCUUAUAGUAACUAAUUAACUUAAUUAAAGAAGUUUAAAAAAUUUUUACAUUGAUGAUCCUUCUUCUAUCAACUACAGAGAAUAGGUGGAUCUCAGUUAAUAGCUUGCCCAAUAAAUUUUAAAUCUCUCUCUCCAUCUAUCUGUAAAAGUGUAAACAUGAUCUAUGAACCCAAAAAAAAAAGAAUGCUGAUGAACAAACGUAAUUUAAGGGGAACAUUUUCAUUAUUUCUUAGCUGUAGCAACAGGGAAAUUUUAGUAUUUCAUGCAUUACCUAACUACUAUGUCAAGUUACAUGCAUGAUUUGUAUAUGUGUAAAUAUUCUUUAUUCGUUUUAUUAUUAAGUAUUUGGUAAAGAUAUAUAUUUCAUUUAUUUACUCUAUCCAUAGGCUUGGCAUCUAAUUGGUGUCAGCUACUUGUUAAAAGUUUAUCCCUUUAAUUACUAGGACUUAAAUGGAUUAAGUAACAUUUGGGAGUCCCAAGGAGUAAAGUAAAAUAUCUAAUAUUAAUUGGUACUCCGAUAAAGCCUUUAACUUGCUCUGAUAUUGACAUUAUGUUUCUUUCAAUUUGGUCUGUUCCCUUUGGUAGGUUUGGGGCAUGGAACCAAUAGAUGCAUGCAGAGUCAUCCCGUUUCAAAGGUAUCAAAAAGUGGAAAGCAUAAAUAUUCUAAAGAAAAAGUUCCUACCUCUUUGGCUUUGGAUUUGGGGUUUUGAUUUAAAAAAUGAUUAACUACUUCAUAAUGCAAUUAAGUAAUAGAAUAUCCUUAAACUAAUAUAUAGAUAAAUUGCGUUUGCAUCUCAUAAUAGUUAUUUGCUGAUGGCUUCGAAAUGCAAAUGGAGCUGAUUAGUUCAUUUGUUAGAUAGCCAUUGACUCCCAAAACUUUUAAGAGGUCAUUGGAUGCACAGCACCUUUCAUGGGCUCCAUUUGAUUAUACGUUUCCUUUUGCUUUGCUGAAUUGCUUGUUAUCCACCAUACUACGUAAUCCUCUAAUAAUGAACUAAUUAAAAACUUAUAUUAUGUUACUCUUUUGGCUCUAGUUAUCUUAGAUAUAAUGUAAGAAACAGUCAUAUGAUGAAAAUCUAAUGAUUGUAAAAAUAAUAUAAAUUUAUUAUCUUAUAUUCCCACGCUUUUAUAUUUUCAUCAAACGACUGUAAAAAAAUCAUGUUUCUUGCAUUAUAUAACAAACUCCUACUCUUUUAACGUAGUCAUAACUAAAUCAAUUUUAUGACAGGACAUUGAUGAUGACCGAUAGAUUAUUACAGCAAAUACAAAUUUAAUAUUUAAGCUAUGGUUAGGAGUUACUUUAAAAUAAAACACAAACCAAAACCAUACAUAUAAAAUAAUAAAUGAUAAAAAUUUCAUUAUAACUUUAAUUAUAUAAUUAUAAAAGAGUGUUCUUACUUUAAAACUGUUCCAACAUACCCUAAUAUUUAUCUAUAUAAUCGACACCGCCAUCGUCAUCAUCAGUGCCCUACACUCUACAACUGAUUUUAACUUAGCUGAAUCCUUUUUUCAAAGAUUCUUUUACGAAUUCCAACGAAGGAAAAGGAAAGUGAUUGGAUGAUAUGAUUCCCAAGGUUAGAUAAUCAAGAGUAAUUGCAUCGUAAUUUCUUGAUGGUUACAUAAACUUUUAACUGAAACAUAGGCCGGUUUCAUAUGACAUAGGCACAUUUUUAAAGAAGGUAAAAGCUAGUUGGAUCUUGCAAUUUGAAAGGUUGGGUGGGUAUUGAAUAAUUGUCGAAAUGUUAGCACUUUGCCAAAACAAAAAGUGAUUAUGUUAUGUUGAAGUUUAGAUAAAAAUUUUCAGUUUAAUUUUAAUGGAAGAAUAAAUAAUCUGUUCUCCAUUACAUACUAUUCCUAGACGUCCAUAUAUCAAUAAAAUCAUUUAUACAUGGCACGUCGGACAGCGUGUGUGAAGGAAUUAGCUGUAUAUAGGCUUUUGCAACAAAUAAUGCUUUUACUUUUGGUCCUCCAAAAUGUGCAGAUAUAACCGAGAGAAAGAGUUAAUUAAACUAGGGUCUAGUUCCAAUAGUAAAAAACCGGAAUUCUUACGAUGAAUUUAUACUAAUAUCACAUCCGUUACCAUACACACAAAUGUAUGUCAAAAUUAAAUGAAUUCCUUCCAGCUAGGGAUUUAUUUAUAGUUGUUGUGGUAGGGCCUUGAACAGGAAAAAAGGACAAGAUGAGAGAGACAAAAGCCAACGCAAAAACUAUUUUCUGUUAGUACAACACAGUGCCAGAGAAGCAAAGCUGGAGAAGCCUUUUUGUUAUUUGGCUAAUCAAAAGUAGGAUCAUUUUCCCCACCAAGUUAAAAGAGAGAUCAAAUUUUCUUCAUUUGCCGACGCAGGUCAUAUGCUUAGAUACAAAUGUUAAUGGGCAAAUAAAUGUUUACACAACAGUCAGAACACGUGUACUCCAUUUAUGCUUAAUUUGUUGCAUUGCAUUGCAUUUGCAUAUCAUAAAUACUGAUACACUUUUACUGCAUGCUUCACGCGCGCGCGCGCUCAUCUUUUUUGUCUUUAACUAACUAAUAAAGUGGAGAAGGCUAAAGCAAACUAGCUGAUGACGGUGUUACCCAGAUAUUAAUAGGUAAUCUUUGAAAAGAAAAGAAAGAACAAAAUAUACAUAAACUGGGUAACAGAAGAAGGAACAAAAGGAGAAAAGAAAAAGUAACAAGCAGGAACGCAUGCGUGAUACUUAUUUUAAGAUAAAGAAAAAAAAAAAAAAAACAACCACAACAAAGUAAAGAAUAUACUUACAGAGAUGUGAUCACCUUUAUUUCGCUUUUGAAUGGAAGGGGGAUGAUAACUUGAAUUAAAUGGGUCCGCAAGUAGGAAGGAGUGAGGCUGUCAGAGCAUGACCUAGCUAGGGUUAGUAUCGUACUUGCUUCUUUAUUUAUUACUUUCACUAACCAAAUGCGCUAGAUAGAUCAUGCUGGCAGCUUCACUUUUUCCCCUUGUAGACUGCUUGUGUGCAAAAGAACUAGUCAACUCAUCAUCAACUCACUCACUGUGACUGUGUUUGCUUAAAUAAUUACAGUGACCAUGUAUGUAUUACAAGCUAAGAAAACAGCAAGAUUAUUGAUCAGUACAGCACUCAUGAUGAGGAAGAUGAAUCUAGACUCACAGCAAAAGAACGAAAGAAGUAUCUUUUGAUGCCAAUAACUUUUCACCAAAAAAUAAAUAAAUGAAAUAAGAAAUUAAUGAGGAUACAUGGAAAUCCAUCAUAGAAUCGGGAACGUGUAUGCUACAGGAAACGAUAAGAAACUUUUUUUUUUUUUGAAAAGGAUAAGAAACUAGUUAGAUCAAUCAUUGAAACAUGAAAUUAUUCAAAAACUAAUUGCAAAAAAAAAAAAUGGAAGCACUACACAUAUCUCAAGCAAAAUGAAUUUGUAUGUAAUGAUCAUAUAUUGGAGUUUAGCUAGGUUAUGAUUUCUCGGUUUUUAGGUUCAUGAUGCACAGAAGGAUGUGAAAACCGAAAAGAAAAAGGAAAAAGAAAAGGAUAAAAGAUGGUGAGGAAAGAGAGUAAAGAAGCCACCGAUCUAAAAAUAUAAAGAGAAAGAUUGGGCAAUUUGUAUUAGGGUUUUCAGAAUCAAAGUUGUGUGAGAUAAAGCAAACAUGUAAGAAUCUAAUGCUUAAGCUGAAAGAAAGCAAAACUUACAUGAAAAAGAGGAAAAAUAAAGAAUUACACUUUGAAAAACAAACACAAAAAAAAAUUAAAAAAUUUUAUUUAUGAAAUCAGGAAGGAACCCUAAAAAAAAAAUUUAGAUGACGGAGGGUUACAACUUGCAACAACCAGCGCAUCGGAUUAUAUUUAUAAGGGGAUUUUGAUGAGAUGAUGAAGAAGGAUCAUAAAGACUCACGUAACCUACUUCGCUAGACAGUCAUGUUCACAUGGACAGGACAACUAAGCGAGAGAGAGAGAGAGAGAGAGAGGCUAUGGACACAGACGUAUCAUAACAUAGCAAGGCAGAAGUGUUAGGGGUCACACAGCACAGGUGGUACAGAUAUAGGCCGCGGCAUCAAAGGGUGGGCGGUGGGGAAGCGGGCUCUGAGUCUGAAGUCUGAAGUAUCUGCAAGCUGCACCCCGCCCACCUCCACUGUAGUAUGUGUAGACUAUGCUGUAUCGGAUCACAGCUAGGGUGAGUAAGGCCGUAGGGGUAGGGGACGUUCUCAUAUGAUAUCACUGUUCCUCACUGCUCACUGCAAUUAUUUGGCUCCAAAUGAAUAAGCAUUUAGAAGUUCAAUGCAUUUUUGGACUGUUAUUUGUGCUUGUUAUGCCAUAUAUCAUGAAGUCGUGUCAUAUAAUAUAAAGUUAGUCAGUAAUUUUGCAUCUCUCUCUCCUUUUGUUGUUCAAAUUCAGUAGUAGUUAUCAAUUCAUGUUACUGGUGAUUUUAAAUGCGACUUCCCAUCCAUCGAGAAGGACUAAAACCAAGCGAACUAAUUAAUUAAAGUAAAACAGUCAAAAUCAUGGUGAUGGGUGGUUACAUUUGAGUAAAAGCAACAAUAGGUCAUCCCUAAAAAAAAAAGAAAAUUCAAAAAAGAAAAGAAAAGAAAAGGAAAGGAAAGUCAUCAGCUAAUAAGGUAACAGCUUACUGCUUGACACACGCAGAUUAAUGGUGCGAUCGAGAUGGCCGGCCCGGGCUCUGCUCUGUAUAUAGUAAUUGCCUAUAACUUACAGCUGUGACGCUUAAAUUGUAGAAAUAUUUAUGCAUCUAAAAGAGGACAAAACAUGACCGAUCAAAACUUAAAAAGUUGAUAUUGAGAUGAUCAGACAAGAGUACUAAAGAAGAUAGAGAGCUUAUAGCUAGCUAGGUUACGUGUUAUCAAUGCAACGGUUUCUCUAGUUGUAAUUUCCUUUUUUCCUUUUGACCUAGCUGGGCAAUGGCACCAGCCAACCACGGAAUGAUUCGUUUUGAAGACUUGUUUUCUUGAUUUCUUCUACUGGCAAAUGGCAAUACAAGUGCACACUGCUGAAAUGUUAGAAUUUUUUAGGGUUUCGCUUUUCCUCUUGGGAAUCGAUGUAAUGUAUAAACUCUUUCCACAUUUUGGCAUAACAAAUUUUUAUAUGUAGAAUUAUAGAUCACGGAAGUCACAAACUUGAAUAUUUUGAAGAGUGUUUUUUCUUUUUUUAAAUAUUCAAUUUAGUUAAAGAAAACUUUUGUAUUAAUAUUGUAUUGUACUUUUGAAUCUCCUUGAUGAUCUCUUUCUUAACUGAAGAGAGAGCGGGGUAGAAAAAGAAAACAGAAAGAGAGAACAGGUAAUAUAUACGAGUGUAUGUAUCCUUAAUUAGUAGAUAGUAGAUAGUAACGGGGUGAUAGAGGCAUAAAGUUGAGGGUCGCUGGGCAGGCAGUAGGCAGGGCAUUGCCUGUAACGGCUCAUGAGUAUCCUCCAGAUGAGAUAGUGGGGAUGGACUAUUCGAUGGAGCUUUAUUGAUUAAUUAUUAGAAUAAAACUGUAUCCCCUUUGUUUUAUUGUUCGACUAUCUCUUGUCGUCUCUACGCCCUUUUCACAGUCGGCUUUUUUCUUUUUCCUUGCAUGCAUAUAAUCAAUGUUUGUUGUAUCAGUAUCAGAAGAAUUCAGAACUUAUUAAGGAGUAGGCCUAUGAGUGUCGUAAUAACUAGUAGACUCUAGCUAGCUGGUGGUCCAAUGCCAACGGUUUCUUCGUUUUCUCUUGAUAUGCUAAACAUUUCAUUACGUUUAUUACUUUUGAGAAAGGCAUGAGGUUAUAGCUAGCUAGUUUGGGUUACUCAUCUGAAAUGAAAUAAUUAAAUGAAGACAAGCGAUUUCAGGAUCUUGGUUUCACGUGUCUGGGGAUUGUCAACUUUGACUUGGCAUUGGCGUCUGACAGAGGACCCAAUCACCCAAAACCAAACCCCUAUUAAGUUAAUUUGAUGGAAAAUGCUACUUACCCGAGUUAGAUCCCAUGUCAAAUCUCGAAACGGCAGCAUAGGCUAUCGUUUCGUCCAUUAUUUUUUUUUUUUGUUUUGAUUAUUUUUUAAACGACACUGUUUUUGCUUCUAUUCUUUUUACUAUGUUAUGAUUUCUUCUUUCUCUUCGUUUAACUUAACCCAGCUUCAUUUAAAAAAAAAAAAAAAACUUAACCCAGCUUUUUUCUCUUUGUUUAACUUAAUUCAGCUGCACACCCCUUGCUUCUUCCUCUUCGUUCUCUUCAUCACACCGUUUCUACUUUUAUUUUUUCUUUGUUCUGAUUUGCUGGGAACGAAGAGAAGAGAAACAAUAAUAUACCUUAACUGAAAAUUGGUGCCCCUGGUUUCUUCAGUUUGAAGCACAAUGUAGAUUGAUGUGUAUAAAUUAUUAAACUUAUGCAUGCUUAUGGGUUGUGUUUAUAUGAAUCAUAUCUCGCAUCAUGAUUAUUUCAUUGCCAUUAAUUUCUUCCUUUGAACUUAGAGAUUGUCCUCGAAAAUUUGUGCUCAUAUGUUUUUAGGUCUUGAUCUAUUUCAACAACAAAGAGACUCUACAGCUAUAUAUGUUGAUGUGCAGGAAAGUAUAAAGUUGCGUGUUUGACCUGAGAAUUUAAAAAUUUCCUUACUAGUGCAAAAUAUGUCCUUUAACUUGAAUAAAAUACCACCAUCCUGACCAAAUGAGACUAGAUUAAUGAAUAAUAGACUAGGGAUUGCGAAUGGCUGCCAAAUCUUAAUUAAGUUAUCAAGGGUUGUGACUUUGGGUAGAUUGGAAUCUGAUGCUGAGGAGAAAUUUUGGAGCUCCCAUAAGAAAAGUGUUGGGGAAGAGGACAUUGAGUCAGUCUCAGACAGCAACAAGCCUGCUUUAUGUGAGAGAGAGACGGGAGCAUCAGAAAAUGGGUUUGGAGUUGGAUACAACAAUGGGGACUGGCUAAGCUUAAGACGAGGAGUGAGGAGACUAUGCAUGCAUCCUGUCUUUCAGUUCGAUGAAGGAAAAUGGAACGAGGCAAACGAAAGGGCAGCUGGGUUCUGAAGGAUUUGCAGUUGGAUUUACAAAUGAACGUGACUGUCGGUCGACGAAGAGAACAAAGAGGAAGAAGCAAUGGGUCUGUAGUUGGGUUAAAUGAAUAGAAGCAAGAAAUCAGAACAAAGAAAAAAAAUUGAAGCAGAACGGUGUCGUUUCAAAACGAAUCAAAACAAAAAAAAUAAGAGUCGAAAACGACGACCUAUACUGCCGUUUCGAGGUUUGACCCGGGACAAAUAGCAAAACUCUAAUUUGAUUUUAAUAUCCCAUUUCCCAAGCCAUCAUCCUCUUUCUCUCCCAAGACAUGUACUGUUCUUUAUGAAUUAUAUAGAUGAUGCUAUUUCUUGGGUUAACUGAUGCAUACAUAUCAUAUUAUAUAUGCUUGCUAGUAUGCUUUCGUUACAUAAUUUGCAUCCAAAUUACUCAAAGCAGCUAUUUGUAACACAUCAACAAUCUCUAUAUCGGCUUCAAUGGAACUUCAUUUUCCAUACCAUUGCAUUUGCAUAUAGCAUUUAAAAAAUUGACGGACCACCUAAAACCUAGUGCCAGCAGGUCCGGGCAUUCACUUUUCUUAUAACUGAGAAGAAAUGGGAUUGAGGAAAUAAAUAUUUACAAUCUUCUUCAAUUUUUUAUUUUCAGUGUAGAUGCAUCAUGUAACAUACAGCAAUUAACAUUGAUAAAUAAAAUCAAUUAUACAUCUGUUACAACAAAAUGAGUACCAGUGAAGUUUCAUCAACAUCUGUGGCGGCCCUUUACCCAACCAAUUUCCAACUAAUUAAUAGCUGCUGGAAUGGAAAACAGAUUCUUCGAUAGCUUUCCUGCAACCUCAUGCUGGGACUAGAGUAAUAAUAGUAUUGAAUUAGAUUCCCACGUAGAAAUUAAAGCACCAGAAACCCACAAUAAAGGUUUUUUUUCGGGGGACUGAUUAGAUCCAACUAAGCUUUUGCUAAUCAUAAGCCACAUCCUCGUGGAAUCAAUUCUUUUUUUCUCGGAUGCCGUUUGUAUAAUUUGCCAGCUCCAACUUUCAAAAUUGGGUUCAUAAAGUAAUUAAGAUGAGAGGAUUGAAUUGAAUGGUAGCUUCAGUGGGGAAAUCUAUUGUGUUAUGGCUUUUCAGUGCGAUUCAUAUGAACACAAGAAAUCUUUUAUGAUUCAAUCAUUCAACUUAAUUGUAUUAGUUACCAAUAAUCUCCACAGGAACAGACCCCAGCCUCAAAAUGAUGAAAUCUAUUAGCAUCCCUCACGACUAGUUCCCGUCCAAAGAGCCUCGAAACUAGCUUGCAGAAAGAAUGGCAGUCAACACAAACACGAAGGUUUUUUGUAAUGCGAAUAAGAGAUCCCUCUGUAGACUUGAGCACUCCAUACGCAAUGGCUAGCCUUUCACUAUGGCCAUAUAGCAUCUGAACCUUCUCUUCUUCCUCCACAUUGUGCAAAACAAAUUGGGUUUGAGCCACAUAGCCUCCUUCCCUCUCCAAUUUCUCAGUAAUUUCGGCCAAUUUUUUGUAUAUCUCAUCGGACUCAGAAUGAGACUUGUCUCUUGCAAUGAAAGAAUGAAUCUUAUUUCCAAUCUCAAUCCAGCUACUUCCGGGUGUUUUCUUCAAUCCACUUCCCCUCAUUCUCAUUCUCACUUGUUCAACAUCUUUCCACUUUCUACUGGCCGCAAAGACAUUGGAUAUAAGUACAUAAUUUCCUGGAUUGCCUGGAUCCAAUUCUAAUAGUUUCUUCGCUACAAUUUCUCCUAGUUCUUUAUUAGAAUGAACCCGACAUGCCCCAAGAAGAGCACACCAAACUUCAGCAGUGGGUUCAAUCUGCAUACUUCUCACAAAUUGGUAUGCUUCUUCCAGGUGAUUUGCACGGCCAAGAAGAUCAACAAGGCAGGCAUAAUGUUCUGGCCAUGGAUCUAAUUGAUAGUCACAUCUCAUAAUUUCAAGAAACUUUUUACCUUCAUUGAUCAAUCCAGAAUGGCUGCAUGCAUAAAGAAGAGCCAAAAAGGUUAUAUGAUCAGGAGCAAAACUUUCAGCCUCCAUCUUGUAGAACAAAUCAAUGGCAACUUUGCCGCGGCCAUGCAGUCCAUUUGCAUUGAUCAUACUUGUCCACAGGAUUAGAUCUUUAGUUUGGACACAAUUGAAUACCUUAUUUGCAAUGUCUAGAGCUCCACACCGAGCAUACAUAUCCACUAGAGAGCUUGCAACAGAUCCCUCUAAAUUGAAGCCCUUCCGGAUGAUAAAACCAUUUAGUUCUUUUCCUUUCUUCAAAAUAGAUAAACUAGAAGCAGCAGAGAGUGCACUCACUAGUGUUAUAGAAUCUGAUUCGACAUUAGCUUCAUUCAUUAAGUAGAAAAGUUCCAGAGCUUCAUUGGCAAGCCCAUUGUGGACAUAAGAUGAUAUCAUGCUGGUCCAAGACACAACAUCUUUAGAUUCAAUGGACUCGAACACAUUUCUUGAAUAAUCAAUGUUUCCGCACUUCCCAUAUACAUCAACAAUCGCGUUCAGUAUCACAAGAUCGGAUAAACCUUUUCUUAUGAUGUAGCCAUGUAUUUCUUUCGUCUGAGACAUGCAUUUCAAUCCACUGCAAGCCAUUAAGACACUUCCUAUAAUCAUUACAUCUGCAUCCAACCCUUCUAAUUGAACUGUCCUGAACAAUUCUAAUGCCUUUAGAUGACAAUUGUUCUGAGCAUAACCGGCUAUAAUAGUUGUCCAAGAAAUGAAAUCCUGUGCAGUCAUCUGAUAAAAAACACGGCCCAUGUAGUUCACACAGCAACAUUUUGCAUACAUAUCCAUAAGUGUAUUUCCAAUCUGCAAAUCAGAAACAAAUCCUUGUUUUAUUGCAUAAGCAUGCAAUUCCUUUCCAUUCAAUAAAUUACCCAAUCGGCCAGAUGCUGAAACAGCGUUUACUGUACAAACUUGGUCAGGUUUUUGACCAGCACCUUGUAACUCACGGAAGAACUGCAUAGCUUUACAAUACAGAUCAUUUUGGACAAAACCAGUAAGCAUGGAGUUCCAAGACACACUAUCCUUGUUCUCCAAUUGAUACAGCACCCCUGCAGCCUCAGUCAUUUUACCACAUCUAGCGUACAUAGCAAUUAAAGCAUUUGCAACAUAAACCUGAAGGUUCUGGCCUGAUUUGACAGUGGCAGCAUGAAUCUCCAUACCCAGUGUUUCAAAUGAAGAAUCCUCACAGGCUUGAAGUGCUGCAACAAAUGUAUAAGCAUUUGUAACAAGACCAACCCUUUGCAUUUCUCUAAAAAGCCCUAAUGCCUCUAAGCACUGCCCACUUGCAGAAUAUGCUGAAAUUAUAGAAUUCCAUAAGACGACAUCCUCUUUUUCACCCAUUCUGUCGAAUAAUUGCCUUGCUUUACGAAAAUCGUAGCACUUUGCAUACAUAGCAACCAGUGAGUUGACGAUAAAAUCAGUAGAAUCAUAGCCACAUUUAAGGACCAAACCGUGAAUUUUAGCUCCACAAUCAAGAUCUUUAAGCAUAGCACAAGCUUUAAUAACACACGGAAAAGUAAAAGCAUCAACAGAAAUGCCCAAAACCCGCAUUCGACUAUAAGUUUCAAGAACUCUUAAAGGUUCCCCAUUCGAGACAUAAGCGCCCAACAUAGCAUUCCAAGUAAAUACUGUUCUUUGAGAAACUUUAUCAAACAGUUGCUCAGCAUCCAACACAGAACCGCACUUGCCGUACAUGAACAAAAGCUUAGUUUCCAAAAAUGAUGAUUCAUACAAAUCGAAAGAUUUAAUCAAAUGGGCAUGAACUUGUUUGCCUUGUGAGAGAGCUUUCUUGGUUGCACAGAGAUCAAGCACAAGUGCAUAAGCUUCAUCCGGGCGUAUAGUAAAUACAUUAUGGUUAGUGAAGAGGUUACUUAAGGAUCUAAAUGCAUCUUUGAGAUUGCCUUGCUUGCAGAACUCUCGUAGACAAGGCGUGUUAAUGGGCUUUUGAGGAAAUUUGGGGGCUUUAAGAGAUGGGGUUACAUGUGCUUUGCCUACGACAGGGUAAUGUGUUAAAGCUGAGCCUGAAGAGGGACUGAAGCAACAACGUGAAAUAGAGGUCGCCAUUACGGAAGAAUACGUGCAUGGGAAGCGAAGGCGGUGACGAGUACAAGAGCUUAUGCAAAUGGAAUGGACUGGUACUAUCAGUAUCAGGUUUCCCGUGGCAGACAUAUCAUGACAAAAUCAUUCAUCAGUUCUCAUUUCUCCAAUACCAUACACGUUCAUGCGUUCAGUUAAAAUUCUUUGUUUGCAAGAUCUAAUUGAUAUUUGAAAAGAAUUAAUCAUUGAGUAAUUACGGUUGGUAGUCUAAAUAGAAUGCAGGAAAAAUUACUACACACUUCAACUUAAAUAUAAGUUGGAAACACUGCCACUCUAACUCAAAUAAACUAUGAUAUCUACUUCAUUCAAAGAAAAAGACAUUACACUUUAAUCUCUAACACUAACAAUAUAAGUUAUUUUAUAUUGUUAAAAAAUUCAAAUGUGUUAUGACGAUAUUGUCUGAUUUAUGUAAUUUUGACUUAGAAACAGAAAACUAUACUUGAAAGUUUGAUGAAACUUAUGUUGAUGCCGAAAAACGACCUCAACAGCUGAAUUUGUUUCUUUAGGAGAAUUACAGUACGAAUCCAAGCUCAAACGCCAAUAUGACCACAAUUUUCUGUACCUGUCAACCAGAAAACACGGUUAGGAUACGCCGGUGAGGUUCCGGCGCAGACCCUCCGAUGCUUAAGUCAUAAAUUUUGUAUAAAGAGAUGAAAAUGAGAGGGAAUAAUUGUGAAUGGGUUCAAAAGAAAGGAAUUUUCCGAUCUAAGAACUCAAAAUCUGGUAAGCUCUGUUAAGGCUCUUAGAUAGGUCACUUCUAGAGUUUUUGGUUGAUUUUUUCUAACCCUUUCACCUGAUGCGCUCUUCAGUUUAAAUAGACUUUUCGUCGUGUACGGUUACCUCCUUAACUUCAGCCCGCUUUCUUCAGCAGUUGCAAGUGGUUUUCAGUUGGAGGUGGUUUAAAUAGAUCGUGGCACACAACUUCCUUAUAAAUUAGGCCACGUUCUCUUAACUAGCAAUUUUCUAUGUCAAACUAAUUCUCAGGUCGGACAAGAGAAUUUCAAGGUCGGAUUACUUCAUUUUCAGAUCAGACAGAUGAAUUUCUCAGUCGCUCAUAUAGCGUUGAGGUUGUAUUCUUAAACUAGAUCAUUCACAUAGAUCUUAGGUCGUACUUGUAAACCAGGUCGUCAACAUAGGCUUCAGGUUGUACUUAUGAGGCCAGCUCAACAACAAUAAGUUCUGAGUAUAUUAAGAUCGACUAUAUUUUGAGAUACUACUAGAAAAAUCCAACCCAAACACCAGUCCCCUAAUUUUCAAUACCAGAAAGUCAUUGCUGGUGUUGGAAACUAAUAGAAAAAUUUUCUCAAAACCCAACAACUUAUAUCAUAUAUAAUCAACGAGUGAAUGCAUUGCCAUCGAUAAAUAAAAUUAAUAUAUAAUUCCUGAUGCAAUAAAUAAAGAAUAAAAUGAUAUGAUCUUAUUAUGGAAUAAAACUUUAAAAGAAAAUUCAAUAUAUAAAUAGCUUAUGUUUAUACCAAAAUUUUAAAUAAAAAUACAAAAAUUAACUUAUUAAAACAAUAUCACAGUACUUCACUUUAUAUACUUUUCAAAAUAUUGCAGAAAUUUCCAAAAUUUUGUUAGCCUUUACAUGUUUCUAUUUCAGUCCCACAAGAAAAUAGCUCAAACACAUACCAUCUCAUCUAAAAUUUUAAUAAAGCAAAAAUUAUUGCCCACUUACUUUUAAUUGGGUUUAAAAGAAGAAACUCAGGAAGCAGUUUUUGGAAGAAUAUCUGGCAAAGACAGCCGCGCUUGCACAAACAAAGGCAAUUUCACAAAAAUGGGCAUUGUCUGCCCAACUACACUAUGCAAAAAGAAUUUUAGCCAAGCUUGUUCGUACAUGACAGAUCAUUUCUCCUAAUGCUGACUCAUGUCAUAUAUUUCCGCUAUACAACUUAAUCACACACUGUUAGUAACUUGUCUAUUUACAUCUAAAGAGCAAGGUUGGGGGAAAAAAAAAAGACUGAUUUCUUCAUGCAAAAUUAGAAACAUCUCCCAUCAAUCACCCAGAAUACAACAAAAUAUGACCCCCAACAAUUCUCAACCAGAAGUUCCGAGCCAGGGGUCAUGCACACUGAGGUAUGUCUCAUGCUUGUCAGAAUUUCAUCAUUUAUCAGAAUCGUUGCUGAGUUACAAUUUCUCAACCUUGUCCUAUUAAUCCCAGGCCAGCCCAGUUGUCCUGGAUUUCCUUUCCCAUGUUCCAAGUACAAUACAUUCACAUUUGAUCCUUCCCCCGAUGCACCAGGACUCAACCAAUAUUAGGUUUUGGUAGUCAAUAGCUGUCCCAAGAGCUGAAAUUAUUCCAGAAUACCUUUUCGUUGCCAUUACCCCUGAUUGAUCGAAGCUCUCAAACUCUCAUCUGGCAGUGUCCAAGACACCAAAUGCCCGCCAGAAUCCCCACUCAGUAACUGCUUAAGGUCACUUGUGAGGUGAAGGGCAGUAACUGGAUGCUUGUGAAACUUCAGUACCUUGUGAAGGACCAGCCUGUACUCAGGUGCGUUAUCACCCAAAUUUAAGCCCCCUGUAAUGUUGCUGCUGCUUGAUUUGCUUUGGGUGAUGACAGUCUCUUGCUCAGUGCAGUGAACCAUUUUCCAAACUUUGACUGCCCCACUCUGAUGACCUGUCACAUACCAGUUCAUUUCUAGCCAGUCAGAAAAUGUACAGCUGGUCACCGAGAGAAUAGAAUCAGAUGGCAGUUGAGAUGUGCUAAUAACAGCAAGGCAAUCUCCAUUGAUGCUCCAAAUUGCAAGCAAAAUUCCAGCAGCUGUUGCAAUUUCCCCAGUCAAAUUAUUCACAUAAAUUGCUGAAACUGGCGCAGGGAACUCAGGAAGCUGCCUAACAAAACCCAAGGAGCUAAGAUCCCAGAUAAUUACAGUGCGGUCAUCUGAUCCACUUGCAAUAAGCAUGUAAGGCUGACUAACAUGAAGACACGUGACUGUGGCAGUGUGAGCACAAAGUGCCUUCUCCAAUUGCAAUCGUCUUGACAAACGAGGUCCAACCUUGCUGAUUCUCCAAACACAAACUAACCCAUCAUCAGCACCAGUCACCACAAUCUGACCAUCAUGACUAACACCAGCACAAUGAAUCUGGUGUCCCCCAUGAAGAUUCUCAUGAGUAGAGAGUAGCCUAUCUUGAUCAUAGCUGAUAAAUCUCAAGCUACGAUCUGGAAAACCCCAUGCAACAUAUUUGGCAUAUGUUCUAGGUUUAAGCAAUGUAUUUGCCCCUGCCACAAGAACUUUCUCAUGGAAUGUAACAAUCUGGGUUAUGGAAGAUGAACUCUUACGUAUUUCAUGGGGAACAAGAUGGACGGAAUGCUUGAGAGGAUGAAGAGGAAGCUUUCUGUCAAUCCGCCUUUUCACAUGCGGUUUAAGGAAAAGUUGCUUGGGUGUUUGCCCAAAAUGAUUUAUCUGUGCUAGGAUGGAGGCUUUCAUUGCGGGAUCUGUAACUGAAUCUAUGUCCACGCUGCCCUCAUAUGUGUAGUGAUAGAAAACAUUUACAGCUUCUUCAGCUGCCUGUCAAUUUAACAACAGAAUAAUCUAAUUAUAAACAGAAUAAAAGGAGAACUUAAGUUCAAAGUGUAGCAAUAAUUAUAGAAGCAUUGCAUAUGGUCUGAGCAGAGAAUUCAAUCUCACAUGCUAUUGAAGAACACAACUUUCUAAGCAAAGCAUAUAAUCAGCAUGCAUGAAAUUGUUUUCCAAUUCUUGGCGACAAUUUCUCAUAGUUGCAUAUCGAACACAGGGAAUAAUAGCAAUCAUUAAACAGUUUGGGGUUGCUAGAUGCAGUUAAAGAGUUGGACGCAUAAUUUUCUUUUUCUAUUAUUUCUCAACAAUCCAAUGAAAUAUCUGGUAGAAACUGAGAGGUCUUCCACAAGGAAAGAUAAUACUGGCUUUAAAAGAAUAUAUUGCAGACCUCUCAUGAACUCCAAUACUUUCAAAAAAGCAAUAUUAGUAAUUGAUUUUUAAAACAAAAGAAUUGAAGGAUAGGUCAGAAUAUACUUAUUAACAAUUGGACUUUUCACUAAAUAGAGAUGAUGACCAUAAAGAAUCUGUAACCCACCUUCCCUCUCUGUUUAUAUCCAAAGAUAAGGUCUAUCCAAUGAUGCAGAUUUUCUGAAACAUAAUUGCAUUCCAGUGCUUCCCUAUGCUUCCUAAUGAACUCUCUAGCACUGCCUUUGGCCCAAGGAGGUAAGAUGACAUCACCAACCUAAAAAAAUCCGACAAAACAUAAUUACAUUAUUGUACAUUCUGUAUGAUACAUAUACAACAACUUCUGUGGUAAAUCAUCAAAGGAACUGAAAUUAGUCAAAAAGUGAAAAAUUGUAAUCUCAACAAACCUUCUCCCCUGAUUGUUUCUCUCCCAAGUCAAAGUUGAAUCUAUUUUCCAAAAACUCAGGCAUGUAGAAGAAUUCUGGAAUCAGUUCCUUCACAUCAGAUGUGUUGCCUUUUCCAGAUGCACUUAACCAAGUAUCUCCAACACUAUUAAAAAGGCGAUCAGCAUGAUCAAACUGACCACCCUGAAGCUUCUGAUUCUCAGCACUGAAUGGUGGCAAACGAAGAAGAUAAAAGAGGACAAUUCCAGCACUAGAAUAAUGAGAACCAUAAUGGAAUUUUGGGACCUCUGGAUCUUCCCAACUCUCAUAUCUAAAAUAAAAUAUUAAAAAAUCAUAUUUAAAAAAAAAGAGAGGGGUGGCAAUGUUGCAUAAAUACAAAAUUACAUAAAUACAAAAUUAAAUCAAAAUGUGCUACACUAGAUACCAUAAUAAUACCAUAAUAAGGAAUUUGUCAAUAAUCGUUAAAACCAUAUCGUCUGUAUAAUACACAAGAAGUAACCAUGAUGGCUGACCUUUUCUUAAACUCAUCUUCUCCCUCAGGUGUCUGACAACCCAUUGGUUUGUCAAGUUUACGAAAUGUUUUGGAAUUUGACAGGUCAAGAAUUUCACUUUCAUAAUCUGCAAGAACCCAAGGAAAGACUGGAUACUGGGUGAGGUCACUGUAUCCACGUCCCGCUAAGGUGUUGAGAUGCAUAAGGUACUGGAAAUUGCUAAUUUCUCCAUUUUGCCACCUUUUGGAGAAGGAUUUAGCCAUUAUUUUAAAAAGACGGGUUCCCUCAUUGCUUUCCUGCUUAGUUGAACCUGAAAUGGUAGUGUCCAGCCUGCAAGCAAGAACCAUGAAGUAAAUAAUCUAACAUACCCAAAGAAUAUAAAAGGAAAUGCAACUGAACAAGUUAGCAGUGGAGCAUAAGUUUGCCAAAAAUAACAUAAAAGAAGAUUAUUACUGUAAAAUCAUAUAACAAGCAGCAAUUUUUUUGUUUCAAAAAUAAUAAUAACAGCAAUAAUCUUCAAAAAAACAAUAACAAAAAUAACAUGAUAGCAGCCCCCCACACCAAAAGGAGAAAAAGGAAAGGCAUGACAUAAAGAUGAUGCAUUCAAGAUAAUGCAAUCACGUUAUAAAACUAGAGUUAUGCAAUUAGGCAGAAAAGAAUUGAAUCAAUGCACGUACAUCAUUUUUGCAAAAUGCACAUGACAUUUUCCAAAAUAUACCAGUUUGUGUCCAGAGGCAUACCAAUGGAAAGAUCAAAAAUUGAACAGAGAAAAUGGACUCAAGAUCAUAUCAAUAGUAUCAAAUAAAAGAGCUAUCAUAAAAGAAAAAAAUAAAGGGUAAUCAUAAAUAGGCAACAAGAAGAAGACUUCAUACAUGCUGUUCCUCGGAAGAUUCAUGGCAACCAGAUUUUUGAACACUUCUUCUCUCUCUUUUUUGUGGAAAACUAGCAGAUCAUUACACCCAUCCAUGCUAAAUAUUUCAACAGCAACAGGACGCAGCUGGUAAUCACGCUUCAAAAUCUCAUGAACACUAUCAAGCUUCCACAUAUGCCACGGGUGAGGUAAAUUACCACUAUUGCAAACUUUUUCCUUCCCCCAGGCACCACCACCGUAAGCCCAAGCCCUUCCCCCAACCAAUGACUUUGAUGUACUCCUCCAAGAUGAAGUUGACUUGGACUGGAAAUCCAUACUGCCAGUAACAUCCUUUUUCACACCUAAAGCCUGGUCAAUAACAGAAAGUUCAUCUUCGAAUUCCUUCUCACAAAUACGCCCAGAAUCGUCAAUAUAGAAGUUCUCAAUUACAUAUAAACAAAGCUCCCCUAUCAGAAAUAUACCAUCAUGUUUAUCAAGACCUACAACCCUUUCACAGUUGUACCUGAAUCGUAUUUUUUCAAGAGGUUCCAGGUAUGGUCUUAUUAGAUAUUCACCAUUAUCAAGCAGUUCCUUCUCUGAUUUAUCAUCUGUACCCUGAAUUUCAUCAACUUUUACAGACGAAGAUUGCCUUGGAGAUCCUAUGUCAGAUUUUUCUUGUACACUCUCUGUUAUUGGAAUAGACGCUGAACUUGACUUGCCACCAAAAUCAAGGGCUGAGUGAAGGCUUGCUUCAUUUAUACUGCUACCUCGGUCAUCAUUCCAGCCAUUCCUAACAGAAGAUACAUCUUUGACAUCAUCUAAUUCUUUCAAAAAUGAUUCAUCAUACAGCUCUUCAUCAGCAGACUCCUGCUUGGCACUGUCAGUCAAAUUGUGGAAGAAUGACUCAGAAUCAGAGUCAGAUGCAUUGGGUGCACCUUGACUUCUUGCUUUUGUUGGCUCUGCUUCUACUAAAUCCAAAUUCCCGUCAAGAACAUUUUGGAUGCUAUCAAUUUUCAAUUUGCAUCGUUCAAGCUUUUUGCGCAUCCUGUAUGGACCUUCAAUAGGACAAAGCUGCCACACAAGAUUUUCCAUCUCAGCAGGUCUACGCAUUGGAAAUAUUCCACGCUCAUGUACAAGCUGUUGGAGAUGCGUUUGCCAUGCACUUUCAGCAUGAAGAACCCACCCAUACUUAUCUUGACGGACAACUCUUAGCUCAGUAGACAUUUCAUCACGAACUAAUUCAAGUGCAUAUCUACGCUCAUUUACCUGUUCCAAGUGUCUCAAAUCUAAUUUUGAAAUUUCUUUGGAUCUCCUUCCCAUUUCCCUCCUACGACGCCCCUCCAAGCCUUUUAUCCUUACUCCAGGAAAUUUUGCUGAGCCAGCAAUAUACUGUACCCACAUAAUGGCAGCACACUGUUCCAACACUUUAUUGACCAUCUGUUCAGAGUUCUGAAGCCACUCAAGGAAAGAAGAUAAACUAUCAGUCAACAAUUUGUCAAAACCACCAUGUAGUACAUCCAGGUGUUGUCCUUGAUUUGGUUUUGAGACAAGCAAGUCUUCCACUGCAGCCCUGCGAUGAACCAGCAAGUACUUGACUAAAUCGAUUGCCACAUUCUGCACAUUUCGCCUUUGAUCACGGAGAAGGGAUAUUAAAUUUACACAAAGACAGCAAUUUAGAUCAGUAUCAAGAUUGCUAGGACAGAAUAUAAUUCGUCUGUGAGCAACCAAUAACUGCAGAACUGCAUAAAUAUCAACUCCUGAAUCUUCUUGUGAAGAGCCUGAGGAUACUUUCCUUUUAGGUUCAAUAAGCAAGCCCAAGCUUGAGAGCAGAUCCUCUUCUCCAAUGGCGGCCAAGAAUGAAGGAAGGAAGCAAUACAGUAUCAUUCUAUUUGUAUUUUUUAAAAUAGAAUGUAUGUAGGCAUCAAGUUGCUUGAUUCCUCUCGCAAUAGAUAAGAGACCCUUUCCUCCAGGAGAUGCAUCUUCAAUUCGCCCAUCUUUGUUUGCCAAUUGUAACAUUGAUAAUAAGAACUCUAAUGUUUUUAGUACAGCAGCCGGUUGAGGAAAAGCACCCAUAUACACACGAUCCACUAUCAUCCAACAGAAUGCAUCUAAAUUUGAGGACCAUCGGCUUUUAUCUAGCUUUUUCUCAUCUUCCUCAUCAUCACGUAACAGACGCCUUUCAAGAAAGUUCAUCAGUCUACUAAGGCACAAACCCUGGAAAACCAACACAGAUUCAGCAUCAAUACACGAAGGAACCAUCUCCAGUAUGCUCUCUACAACCUGUGCAGCUUUCAUCUGCUCAGUCAUAAAACCAGAAAGAACUUCCGCCAUAAAAUCUAAAACAGCAGUUGCUCCAGCAGAACAAGGACCACCACCAUAGCCAGAAUCAUCCAUUUCAAGGAGAAUUUUUGGUCUAACUGCAAAAAAUGUAUUUGCAGCAGAUGCUCCUUCAGAACUAGACUUCAAGUCUGAAGAUGAAUCCAAUUCACCAGCAGAUGCAGAAGACUCCAUGGAAGGAGUGGCGACCAAGGGAGUUUUAUACUCAUUUUGAUUUGAAUUUAGCCAAGACGACAAAGCAACAACUGGAGAUGAAACAGCUGAAAGUGGAAUUCUAGGAUUAGAUUUCUCAGAUAAAAUGGGAGAAUCUAGCAAUGUAAAAGAUGAGGAACUCCGGGAAUCAGUUGGUCGAUCCAUAACACCUUUAGUAUUGCGGAAGCUGAUAUCAUUGGUGCUUGAGGACACAGAGACCUGGUCAACAUGGUCACUGUCUAAGAGAUGAACAGCUUGGGUUUCUUCUUGCAGUGAUUUAUUUGAUUCUUCCUGGGGCAUAUCUGCUUUCAUCUCUGCUUUAUCAUCACCAGUAUAAUUUGAGGCUACAGGUGUAUCAUCAGAACUUGUACUUACCUGCCCUGUGGGGAAGCUUCCAACACUAAUAGAGGUUUUCACAGACUGCUCCUGCUCUUGAGGCAAGCUAGAGAAUGUAUUUUGAGAGCUACUAGUAUCAUCACAAUCAUUCAUAUUCUUUUCUUCCGUCUUAGCAGAGAGAGCUUUAGCCAUUUUCACUGCAUAGCCAGCUCUACAAGAUGCAGAAUUCAAAAUCAUGUAAAAAUUAGGCCACAUUGUUUAUAAAAUUCUAGGGGGAAAAAGGAAAAACACGUUUUGAAUAUGAAGCACAAAUAGUAGGUUUCUCAACACAAACCUAAUGCAAGAAAAAUAAAGGUCAACACAGCUUUCAAGAAUUUCUGGCCGCCUGCAGACAGUAGAGAAAGGGGGGCACAUCUUUGCCAGGUCAACCAUGAAUCGUAGGACAGAGGUUGCAGCAGCAGGAGCUGAAGCCUCCCCACCCAUUAAACGCGCUGCAUAUGUCUUGUGCAUCAGAGCUUCACCCUGAAGCUCCCCAGCCAUAUCUGUGUUUUCCUCUACAAGCUCUGCUACAAGGCCAGCACCAACCUGAGAAAGAUUUCCAGUUUGGUGGGCAAGCAUUGACUGAAUGCUCAACCUAUCAAAAGUGGAUUUUGCCAUAGCGAUUACAGAUUCUAACAGCUCUACAAACUUUAACUCCACAUAACUUCCAUCACUUGGCAUCAGAGCAUGAAAGUCCAGCAUGCGAACUUCAGGUAGUCUUGGAUAAACAGGCUUGCCAUAUAACAGACAGAACAAUAUAUAAUAUAUGUCCGGGGAAUCAUAGAAACUAGGAAGUACCCGCACCAAACAUUGAUAACCUCCACUUGUGCGAAACCUAAGGGUAAAUGUGGGGGAAGAAGCAAGAGACACACCAAGCAGUGUCAUGAUCCAUCUCAUGCUUGUAGGAUGAACAGCUUCCUCAAGAAAAUAUGUUAUCAAUUUGGAUGAGACAAUCUUAUGCCACUGCUCCAGCAACUCUUCCGAUUUUAUGGUUACUUGAAGAUCAAUAAGCAUCUCCAACAGCAUAUUUCUAACGAUAACAUGUUUCCCCAUGGACUCUCGCAUUAUCUGACGUUGUGGCUUCAGUUCAGGUGGAUCAAAUGUCAUUAUCACAAAUCUAACCACAUGUUCAAGUUCAGAGACCAGAAAACCAUCUUCUAAGAUGACCCCUAGCAGUACAACCAAUUUCUCUAAAACAGGGACCUCGACAUCACCCCGCUGCAGAGUCACUAGUAGGUGUUGAACAAGGUUAAUUCGGCGAAGAACUGUAAGGUUAUGAUUCCUGUACCAGUGCAUGGACACUAGGUGCUCAAGAAAUCCCAGCAGUGCAAUUUGAAUGGAAACUGGGGCAGUAACCCACAAUGUCCAGUCCAACAAGACAUGCUCAACCAUAUCUGCAUUUGACAGAACGAUGCAAUUAGAUGUUUCAACUGGCAUAUCAGCAUUUUCAAGCUCAGAAAUAUGACUAAAUGAAUCCUUUGGAGCAGAAAAGUCGUCCAUAUCUCCAUGAGAUCCAACAGAAGAAAUUUCAUCACGAAAUUUUGACAAAUUAAGAUCCUCAAAGCUAGUUUCUGGAGUACUUGUGGCAGGUGACAAAGCGCUCCGAGUAACUUGCAGCUUCUUAGGUUCAGAAAAUGAAGCUUCACAUGCAGCAAUUUGGAAAAAGAUCUCAAGAGAUUGCAUGUCAAAUAAUGACAUUCUACGACGCAAAAAGAGAGAGAGCAAAUGGUAACCCCUGCAUGUUUGCAUGUCUCUCACAUUCUGAGGGCUUUGAUGAAGUGCACAAGCAAGCAAUGUCAAGGCCAUGUGAAGCAUAUCCCUGGUUUCAGCAGCCUCAACAAGAGCAAGGACAACAGGCAUCCCACCAACUGGACGAAUUAUAUCACCAAUCGAGCAUAACCUACAUAUAUAGAUGUCACCUUGAAGGCGUCCAAAACGUGGUAUACCUGGGGGGGGGGGGAGGAGGUGGAGUUCGUACUAUAUUCUAGCCUUUCUCCCUUUUUUAUAAAAAAAAUGUUAUAUUUCCUCCUCUUUUUCAUUCUUUUUUUUUAAUAGUUCCGCCGUGUGAAGGUGAAUUAAGAUCCCAUUCCCAUGGCCAAUUUCGUUUUUUAUUUAUAUAAAGAGUAAAGAGUGCAGAUCUUCCACUUUUUUCGACAGCCAUAAUCUAAAUUAAAUAGAGAUGUUCGGAUAACUUAUAAUGAUCAGAUCAUCAACAUAAACCAAAAAGUGCAAUAGUAACGAUGUAAGACUCCUCCUUCUUAGCUCUUAGCUUUUCGCUUUGAAGAGGACCGAAAAAGUGGAGAUUCUUUAAAAAAAAAAGGGCAGCUGUACCGUACAUCCGCCUUGGCCGUACAGCAGGGGGAAGAAACAGACAAAUAUGAG